GUACCUGGAGAGGAACUGCUUCGUGAUGACUAAUGCAAGUGCAAGGUUUCAACACCCAUCAAGAAAUUAAGCAGGGUUUGGCAUAUCUGAAUUUGCAUACCCCUCUUUUAAUAAGCUGUGAUGUGAGAAGUACCGAGUUUUCUCUGACCUGGUGGUUCUGGAGAAUACUUGGACAUAGGAAUCAGUUAAAUUCUGUGUGUAUCGCAGCACGAGAGUAAUUUGGGAAUGAGAUGAGAGGAAAGAUGUUGGGCGAAUUACAACUGAAUAUAUGUGGCGAGCUGGACAAAAUGCGCUUUGCCAUAAUGCUGAAAUCGAGGGAGGAUGUCUGCAGAAUGGGGAUGAGCUAAAAAAUUCUUUAUCAUAGAGGAAGUACUAAUGUGGUAAGUUAUAUGUUUGUUAUUUCUGUUCCUUUUUGGGUUUUUGGUUUCUGAUUUCUUUGACUCAUGGGUGCUAAACUAGCGAUGCCGACUCUGGACGAGUAACUGAGUUUGUUUUAACUGUAAAGUUGAUCACGACUCCUUAGGGCUGUUGAGAUUAUUGUAUUAUUUUAUUAGUUGAAAAUAUUUGUUCGGGUAUAUCUUGCAAUCUGCUGUAUUUCCUCCUGGCCUGUUCGGUCAUCACUGAAUCUCGAUGGCUUCCAACUUCGUUUGGGCGCUCGGUUUGGAUGUUUGGUGCUUCUGUAUCUUUGCUUAUUAAUUUGCAGUUGAGAAUGAGACGCGAAAUGGUCAUUGGGACUUUGGAUGGCACGUAUCUGCAUUCUUUACUGUACCGGACUUUCAAUAAUCGUUCUUCAUUUUAGUUUGGAAAAUUGCCUCUGUUCUAGCAUCCUGAGGUAACGAAGUUUGGAGCCUAUGUCCUUUAAUUGUGAAAUGUCUGACAGUGUUUGAAGAUUAGAUGUGAUUAGGGCUUCCCGGGAAGAUGGAGAUUCUGGGAUGUCCUUGUUCAUUUUAUAGAUCGGUCGCAUACUAAUAUGGUGCAAAAAGUCGAUCAAGAUGUUUAUGCGCUGUGGAUUCUAAUCGACCUUGCGUCCGAGUUUUGAAAGAUUGUGUUGCACUUUGACAUUUGGGUGGGUUCAUGGAUAGGAACUCUGGCGAAUUGUUUUCUUGAUUACUUCUGGAGAUGCUGGAUUUGUCCGUGUAAUAUGUCUAGUCAUGCACCGAUUCCAUCGGCACGUCUUAAGAUUUUCGAAUUGACAAUGCCAAGGUCUGCUUUCUUUAUCGAUUUAGCUUUGUGAGAGUGAUUUUGAGGGGAAUAUUCGAUUAGCCUUAUUGUUGUUUUGGGCUACGAGGAAAUGUUCAAACUCACCAAAUAGGACGAGAAUUUUCUCAGAGAUCUGCAAAUAUCUAUUUAAUCAUCGUUGUAGGCAACCACUGUAUACACCAUUUCGGUACUGGAAAAUCACAAAAAUGGUGAUGAACCUGUUGCAAAUGUACCGAUUCUGUUCUAAUUCAUUUUUUUUUCCAGUUAGGUCUUAAAUUUUUUGUAUUUGUAUCAAUUUAGUCAAUUCGGCUAAUUUCGAGCGGAAAUUAUUAACAUGGACGCUGGUUGUGAUAAUGACUUGUGCUAACGUGGAUAAUUUUUAAAUAAUAUUUUAGUAUUUUUUCGAUUUAUUUAUUUAUUUUCUUUUUAUUUUCUUCCCUUCUUCCUCCGGUUGGUUGUUGAGGUCCACUCGUGCCAAGAUGACAAGCAUAAUAUCAAAGAUUUCCGGUCAAAUUUGGCAAAGUUGAUUCAAUUAGCAAUAUUUGAAAAAGGUUUAGGAUAAAAUUGACAUGAUUAAAAUGUUUAUGACCGAAUUAACUAAAUUAAUUCAAUUGCGAUAAGUUUUAAGAUUUUUUUUGGUUACUCUUCCUAUUAACAAUAAUUGCCUCUGAAAUUGAUUGUCAAUUAAUCGGCAUGUCACCAAGAACUAUUUCACUUUUUUCAUGUAUUUUCACAAGUAAUUGCCUUUCUUGAAUGUCUGCUCCUCCUUAAUGUAUGGUCGGUUCCACCCCCCCCAACUUAAUGAGGUUUCUUGCAUUUGCUUUUGUUUUGUCUUUCGUUUGUGGUGAUUAUAUUAAUUUUAGCUUUCUUUAAUUAAUUUGAUUGUUAGUUAUGUGUUAAUAUUGUAAUUAGCAAUUCUUAUUCUUUUUUGCCGUCAUCAUAUUUUUCACUCAUCACUGAACUCUGGAGGUUUCGCACUCCAUUAAGCCAAAAUAAGUUAUCCCCACUAAUCUAUUCCUUUAAUUUCUGUUAAUUUUCAUUCGAUUUUGUUACUUUUUUACAAAGUACUAUUUGUUUUUCAUUCUAUUCAUUUCACUGUUAGUGAUGCUGUGUUUGUGUUUGGGAGAUUGGGGAAAAUGGCAGUGAUGAAAAUUUAAGUGGAAAAAGCUUGAAUAUUUUAAAUUUUCCGCGAGAUGAGAAAACGGAAGGAAAUCUUAAAAUUAUACAAUAUGUUUUCCAAUUUCGUUCACCCAAGGGCUCCCAAACAGAGCCUUAGCGUGCGAUAUCUAUAGAACGCAGAAGCUUUCAUUUAAGAAGAGAGAGAGAGAGAGAGAGUAUCCAAAUUUUGGACGGAGGGUUCGCCAAAUCAAAUUUCAUGUUGCGAGUUUUUUUUAAUAAAAUUCUAAGCCCACGAUGAAGUUAUUAUCAAAUAAAUUCCUUGAUUCUUCUUUCUUGAUCUUGUGAUCCUCUCAUAUAGGUUUGGAUAAGAACUCUUUGUUCUUAUUCAAUCAACUAGAAUAAUGUAAAGAGAUUAUGAAAGAAGAAGAAAAGAUAAACGGGAAGAGAGAUUAUGAUAAUGUCGAAGGCUAUAUGUCAGCCUCCUAUAAGUCCACUUCAACACACGGCUUUUACAUAUAUUAUAUUAAAUUCUCACGCUUGAACUUGCAAAGAUGCUUCCACAAAUAUAAAGUCCAAAAGCAAAUGGCACACAUAACAUAUAUUCAAAGCACAUGAUGAACCCUAGAAGUCCUUACGGGCAAAUUGACAGACAUGUCGCUAUGGUAAUAAAGGAUCAGAUGCAGGAAUCCAUUCCCAGACAGGAAAGACAGCUCGAGAGAUCGUUUGCAUCCACUUCUCGUUUGGUCUCUUUAUCCUCUUCUUUCUCUUCAUCCUCUUCUUUAUCUGUCGAGAUCGGGUAGACAUUGGCGAGUUGCUCAGCCACAACGCUCAUUGCCGGCCUGUUCGCACCGCUUUGGUCCAAGCACCUCACUGCAAUCUCAGCUACGGUUCGUAUUUUCUUCAUUUCAUCUUGACUAGCACUCUCAAAGCUUAUGACAUCGGAGAGUGUGUCACCCUUCACGGAAGAGAUAAAAUGAUGGAUGGUAUUGAUUGACUUUUCAGACUUCGUAACAUGAAGUUUCUUUCCCAUGAGCAACUCCAUAAGGACAACUCCAAAGCUAUAUACAUCGCUUUGAAUUGUUAGCAUGCCAGUGACUAAAUAUUCCGGAUCGAUGUAGUGCAGGGAGUCUUUUUUCUGAAUGGCUACGAUAUGUCUAUGCUCUGGUGAUAUAAGUACCGAAGUUCCAAAAUCGGAUAUUUUCACUGAGUUGUUUCGACCCAUAAGUAUGUUUGCUAAUUUGAUAUUGCCAUGAAAGAUUGGGGGUUGUGUGUUGGAGUGCAUAUGAUUGAGUGCAAGAGCAGCUUCAGCAGCUAUUUUGAAGCGUUGUUCCCAUGUCAACUCGUUCUGUUGGAUGAGUUUGAAGAGGGUGCCAUUUGGAAUGUAUUCAUAAACCAGCAAUGGUAUUUCAGUCUCCAAACAUAUGCCUUUGAGCUUCACCAUAUUUUUGUGGCUCUUUUUCAUCAGAAAUUCAAGUUCAUCUUGGAAAUCCUGCCUUAUUAUAGACUUGUGCUCAUCUUGAGGCUUCUUGACCACGACCACAGUGUCCCCUGCUAUUGUCCCUCCAUAAACGGAACUGGAAUGGUCGUUGUUGAGCUUAUUAUUGUCACUAUAGUUGUUGGUUGCUUUUGCCAGCUCUUCCUCCGUGAAGAUUUGGACUUUGCGUUGUUGCAAGAGCUCUCCUCCAUUUCGUCUAAAGUUGAUCUUUCUCAGUCUCAACCUCAUUGUGACCGAGACAGAACCAGUAAUAGUUACGCCGAAGACGGACACAGCAAUUGCUGCCAAAGAGUAUAUGUUGCCGGAUUAGUAAUUCAAGCAUGUAAUCCUCGUACAAUCCACAUAAUUCAUUUAAAGAAAUAAAUUUCGAACACACAACCAUUUACUUUUUUUUCCUGCGCAAAAUCCAUCGAUCACUAUCGAUUUGGAAGUUAGUCAAUAUUUUAAAAUAUAAUCACCCAAUUAAAUGUUAACGGAAAUGGUUUAUGUAACAAAUGGGUUGCACGUAUGGUCCAACAAUCCUUACAAAAGUUCUUAUUAAAAAAUGACACGUGUCAUCAUAAACUGAACAAGUAAUCAAAAUGAACCAAAGUCUUCUAUUACUCCUCCAAAUAUCUGUCUUGAUUAUAAUGGAGACGCUUAGUAAUAAAACAAAAGAGAAUGAGAAAGCAUUCACCUCACAUUGUUUUAGCUCUUUCCAUUUACACAUGGUACGAAGACUCUGUGGAAUUUUAUAACCACUUAUGCACGUUAUCACUAUCAUGAUUAAAUGUUUUUCCAUCCAUUUUAUUAGAGGAAACUCCAACCGACGGGGCUACGGACAUAUACAUCACCCAUAUUCGCAUAUAUAUACGUAUGAUUCAUAACCCACCAAUGGAAUGCAUGAUUGAAAAGAUUUUCUCUAACUAAAGACGGAAAAACAUUUUCUUUUCAUAGAUUUUAUCUUUUUCUCAAAGAAAAAAAAAACUAAUCCACUUAUUAGACGACCAUUUGACAUUUUUUUUUUGUUUUUAUAAUUUUCAUUAAAAAGAAAGGCCUCAUGGUGGAUUUUACAAAAAGGGCGGCGUCAUGGGUUGCUUGUGGUAUUAGAGGUAUUAUUGAGGUAUUAUUGAGGUAUUAUUAUUAUUAUUAUUAUUAUUAUUAUUAUUAUUAUUUCAUAUUUUUGUAACAAACAUAUGUUUCUUCUUUAAAUUGUACACGGGGUGGGUUUGCGGAAAAAAAUUUGCCCCAUUCAAGGUGGCGCCCCCCGGAACACAGAGUUCUCACGCCCCAUGGCUAUCCCGUGCCCACAAACAUUCACGUUCAGAUCCAUUCCUUUUUUGUUGCUAUCAUUAUCCAAACUUUCCACAUUUAAAUAAAUAUUUUCUAGCGUGUGUAUAUAAUUUCAUUAGCUUUAUUUAAAAUGAGAAAAUAUUUUUAUAACCUGAAAAAGACUAAUACAUCCACUAUAAAGUCUAAAUUAAAAUAUGAAUUAUUAUACUGUGCCGUCACGGCGUAAUAAGAUAAUAUUGAGAUGGCACGGUAUAAUAAUCCAACCGUAUCGCCUUCUUCAACAAUCACCUUGAUAUGCUAUUACUUAAUAUCGUGCUCCUUUUUACUUUUCCUUUUACUAGUUCAAAUUCGCUCACUUUCGCUAGAGAUUUUAGGGGUUUUUUCCCUCUUGAAAUCUGCUGGUCUAGUUGUUCUUUUUGGCUCAAGAUUUACAGGUUUGGUCGGAGGAGGGAUUUUCACUUGGAUCUUGCAGUGUAUCUUCCCACGAACGUAGUUUCAAAGUGCAAGCUUCAGAUAAACGGGAAAAAAGGCUAGAAGGGAGGUAAAAGAAAAACAAAAGAAAGUUGUAAACGGGUUUAGCCUGGGACUGAAUAGGAACCUGUGGUAGCAUGGGGCUCACUGCUUGUGCUUACCAGGAAUUUACAUAGGCUAAUAAUCCUUAAAACAAAUAUGUCAAACCUACUGCAAAAUCAAAUAUAAGUUAAUAGAAUAUAAACCAUCCAAUGAAUGGAGGGAUAUAUUUGGAAUUACCUGCACCAGCUAUGACGCCAGGAGGAAUUUCGCAACGGUCAUUAUUGUUCUUCUUUCUGUGCUUCUUUCCAACUGGGCAAAUGGCUACAUUAUGCAAAAGACAAAUUGAACCGUUAUCUCGAUUAAUGGCAAAAACAAAUUGAAUAGGUUGGUGCAGGGAUUAUUAGUCAGGUAAUGCUAUCUCAUUCAGGUCUUGGUUGUAUUAUUGCGACAUGUAUCCACUCUCUCUUAAGAUAUCUCUUCUUUCUCUACUCUCUAUCUCUCUCCUGGUCGAAGAUAGUACCGGGGACUUGUCACUGCAAGAUGAGGUACAAGCCAGACUCAUAAAGGAAGGAAGAGAGAGAGAGAGAGUCGUCAUCUUUGUUGCUUGCAAUGGUGGUACUGGGGACUUGUCAAUGCCGAGAUAGGGUACAAGCCAGACUCAUGAAGGGAGAGAGAGAGAGAGAGAGAGAGAGAGACAGUCGUCAUCUUUGUUGCUUACAGUGGUGGUACUGGGGACUUGUCACUGCCAAGAUGAGCCAGACUCAUGAAGGAAGGAAGGAAGAGAGAGAGAGAGAGAGAGAGAGAGAGAGAGAGACGUCAUCUUUGUUGCUUGCAGUGGCGGUGGCACUUAAUGUCAUCUCUAAAGUGGAGGUGCCGUUGCCGGUGGAGGAGAGGGAAAAGUGUAUCAGCGUAGAUAGAUAGAUAGAGAGAGAGAGAGGCGGCUGUGGUGGUCCAACGGCUGGCUGGCCUAAAGUGGUGGGCGGAUGACGGUGGCAGCGGCAAUGGCAUGAGUCGCAAGACGGAGAGUGGAGGAAGAGGUUGCAGCGCAAAUCGAACGGCGGCUAAUUAAAUGGGGUAAAACUAGAUGGAAUUAGUAGGUAGAUACAAUACUUCUCCAUCAGGCUCUUGCACGUUGAUUAAUUAAUUACCCACACAAUUCAUUCGAGUGCGAUAAUGAAUGAGGAGUCGGGUACGUUGAAUUACCUUUACACCCUCCGAAGGGACUAUAAGGAUUCCCAUGGUACCCAGGAUUGCAAACGCAACGAUAACCCGAUCCAUUCCCGAAGUCUGUACAAUUCGCGUUUUUACCACAGGCAUAGCUCGAACUGUCCUUGGCCUUUUUGCAUCUCACGUUCGAUUCGACCAUCCAGUCCAGAACAAGGCUCGUGUUUUUACCCACAUCCUGGAACGUCGGGAGAGUCAAGUUUGAGAUAUUGAAUGGCCUGUUGUCCACCAUGAAGGCCCGUGCACAGUGGCCGGGUUUCGGCACGUUUAGGUCGAUGGAGGAGAGGUUAAUGUUGAGCGUCUCGAGCCCCCCUGGGAUGGAUGCUUGACAGCAACCUUGACCGGAGCAAGUGGUCUCCUUGGCGAAGUCGACAUUGCUGGAGCAGUAGGAGGCGCAACCUCUACUGCUUUCUUCGUCCACGACCGCAAGGGCGUUGCAGCCGACGACGAUGAGCUUGUUCUGGGUUUCUGAGAAUCUGUACCGAGGAUUUGGAGGUAGAUUGAUGGCCAUGCUUCUGUUUUCCAGGAUGCCAUUCUGAUCGUAGCACUGGUAUGCUUCGGGGAGGCUGACGACCAUGGUCGAGUCCCCGACCGAGAUUUUGAGUAUCGUAAGAUUCCCCAACAUUAGUCGAAAACCGCUCGCUCCGAUGUUGGUGCAAUCGAGCAAAAGAUCUGUGGACCUCAUACACUUGGGUUCGAGCCCGAAUGGAUAAGGUACGGUCACGCCCCCACACUGGCGUGUGCAGUUUCUGCGCACGGCGGCGCUGCCUUGUUGGAACCACCAGGCCACAGCCACCGUUAGAAGCCAAUGCCCUAUCUUCAUUUCGAAAAAAACUCUCUAAAACUCUCUCUCACGUAAUUUCUGUCGGUUUUGGGACCUUUGUGCUUCUGUCCGCGUUUAUAGAGUGGAAGCCGUUCUCACUGACCCAUUAUAUACACAUCGACGAAUUGGCGAAAUUUAAGUACAACAAUGGAGGGCAGCAGGGGCAAAUUGUGUCAAUAGAACAAAUUGGAGGGACCCGAUUGCAUAUAUCAACAAAUGCGAGACAGAAUUAGAAAAAAAAACAAUAUACAAAGGUUUUACACAUAAAGGGUAGUGCGCCCUUAGUCCUUGUCCUAGUGAAAGGGAUGGUCACAGCAUAAGAAGAUGAAUACAUGAUUGUGAUGUUGAGGCUAUUAGCAAACUUUUCUCUAUCUUGUAUCAAAGAAGAAACCAGCAUACAUAGUAAUGAGAAAUUCUAAAUGCGUAAAGAACUCCUAGUAUAACUUUUUUACCAAGUGAUAUGACAAAUUUUAAUUGAGCAUUCAAAUAAGUGAAAUCUAUUCUUUGAAUGCCUGCCUUGUUAGAAGCCUAAAAGAAAUUGUCACAUUAUUUAUUAUAAAAAUUUUAGGGUGGCUAUUACGUUUUAAAAGGACAUUCACAUAUCGGCCACAAGUUCCACUAUAGGAGAAUUGCCAACCGGCUUGAAAGGUUAAUGAAACUCAAGGUGACACUAAAAAUAAGAUGGCCCUAGAAUUACGAUGGGAUUUAAACAUUUUUAUUAGAGUUAUGUUUAAGAUGGCCUUACAAUUCUAAAUACAAAGGGAAAAAAGCUGAGGAAAUUUUCGUAUAGUUUUUUUUUUUGGCCAUCAUGGGUAUAAGAUCACAAAUAAAUAAAAUCUAUACAAGACCAAAAAAUCAACUAGAGCUUUUGAUCAUAAUCAUUUUACAGUUUCUUAGGAUGCAAGAUUUUAGGUUCAAUUGGAAGAUUGAUACCAAAGAAAAUAAUGAAGUUUAUCUAUGACCUGGAAUCGGAAUAGAAUUUUAAUACAAUUUCUUUAUAAAUAUAGCAUUACUCUUAUAGAAUAGUGAAGACGAAGUAAAACGAACAUUAGGAAUUAUCACCAUUGGGGAAAAGGCUUACUUCCUAGUAAUUUUAGAACUCUUGAGCCUUACUAGUCACAUGUUUGAAUUUGCCCUGGUUCUUCUUGACCUCGAGAAAUCUUAAUUCGUUUCUUGUUUAAGUUUAACUGUACCAUGACAUAGGAUUGUCCUCAUUAUACUCUCAUUAUAUCUUGGUGAGCUGAUGGUGAUAGGCCUACCUAAAUUAAGAGUAGCUCAAAUGGAAUAUAACGUCAUGCGUGUGGAACUCUUAUGGUAAUUCUCUGAGGUAGUCACUAGUAGUGGUCACCCUUUCCUCCCAUUAUACCUAUCAAAUAAUAUUAUCAUAGUAAUGCUAUUGUGACGUACAAUGGUAAAUUUAUUUGCAUAAUUAUCCCUGCAAGAUGAGAAAUGCUAUACCGGAAAAAAAUGUGGAAUAAUUAUAGGAUAUACAACUAGUGUAAACAAACAAAUUUAUUUUUGGUUGAUUAAUUAUAGGAAAAAAAUUAUUUUACAUGAGCAGGCGCAUACACCAUUGACUUGAAAGAGUGUGUAGCUAUAAUCCUUAAUUAAGGAUGAACAAGGCUGCCUAUGUAAAAUUUCUUUUAUAAUGGUGUAUGUAUGAUCUAUUUUUCGAAAAAAAAGAUAUAGAGAGGUAUGCUUGCUAGAAGAUGUAGUAUGCAAUUGCUGGUUAAUUAAAUGAAGGCACACUUCGUUGGUCUCAUGCUUUCAGUAAUUAAUCGACCACAAGAAUGUAUCAUGCCACAUUAUUUUGUGAUUUAAUUUGUGAUAAAUAAAUUGUUGACACAUUUUUUAAUGGCUUAGAUUUUAUUUUUUGGGAAAAACAGUAAGUUUACCAUGGUCUCCGAACACACUGACUUGAAUUCUAACACACCCUCUCAAUUUUCUCUUGCCUAUUAUUCCUAUUUUUCUCAUAUCCUGUUAGUCUUUCUACUCAUUAAUUAUCUAGUAGGAAAAUAAUCACGUGUCAACUACAUAUAAAAUUGCUUGUAUAGAGAAUUUUGUAGUUGUGGUGUUCUUUUUGGAUUUUUAUUGUGAGUACACGGUUGGAAAGAGGAGUGCUAGACAUUGCCCUAAAUAAACAUAUGACAUCUUGUUAGUGAGUUCUUAAGCGUAAUGGUGAAGUAUACUUUAUGGAAAAAGAUUUGAUUUAUAAAUAUUGAUUACAUCUAUUACCAUAAAUUUAAGUGUCUAAAUUAUCAAUGUAGAUAUCUUUUUCUAUUUGAUUACUUACUAAGUGUCAUAAGAGUACCCCUUCUUAAUAUGUAAAAGUUUAUAGAAUUCAGCAAUCUAAAUCUCUAAAUUAUUAGUAAAUACAAUGUGGUGUAAUUAAGAUCACUUAUAGGAGAAAACCCUUCUUAGGCCGUGAACAGAACAACGAUUUUAUUUUAAUUUUGAUUGUAUUCGUCUUAAAUUAAAUGGUAAUCGACUUGCUAUCACGACCCUGAAACUUUGAAUACGAUCCAAAACAAAAUAGUACCUUUUUUUUUAAUAUAAAGAAUCUAGACUAUUUGCCUUAAACAAAUAUCACGAUGUACGCAAUUUGCCUAUUCCUAUGCAUCCAGUAAAUUUCUAUCUACAUGGAGGUGGGUAAAGUUAUUUUGAAUGUGAGAAGAAAUCUAUCGUAUACAAAUUAACAUUCAAUCAAUAAUUCGAGGUUUUAAAACGACAUGAGAACAAAUUAUUUUGUUCGUCUAGUCCUAUUUCGGGCGGUCAUUUUUCAUAUUAUCCAUCGCACGGCUCUAUCGAGACGGAACUAAAGCAACGUGUUUCACGACAAGGGGGAAACAUAGAAAACCACCUUGCCCUCGACUUUUGGAGAGACCUUUUCCUUUCCAGUUGGCCUGACCCCGCACGCACUAACAAUAACAACAUGCUCCGUAUUUUGUGAUGAGCCGAGUGGAUCUCCAACGUCGAUUUAUGUGGGCUCCACAUGAGAUGGACGCCACUAACUGCUGGAAGUUCACUUGGAUUUUGUGCAUCCGGUCCGGGCAAGUGUGGCCUGGAUGCGAAUAAAAACCUCAGGGCCCAACGCCCGGUGACUGACCGCGUGAUGUCUCGUACGGGAAGACUUGGUGACUGUGCACGAAGACUCACGAGUCGUCUCGAAGUCUCUUGCAGAACAAGACAAAAUGCGAUAGAAAAACUAAAGAAAGGGGAGAUCGUGGGAUUCCCAAGAAAAUAAUUAUGAUUACCUAAACAAAGAAUUAUUUUUUUCUUCAGAAAAUAUUAUUUUCAGGUUAAUAUUAUGAAAAAUCCUAAAUUGAUAUUUUAUGAUAAAUUUACAAAAAAUUAACUUUUUGAUUACGAAAUAUCUCAAAUUGAUACAUAUGUGACCAAUUUACCAUAAUAUAAUUUUUUAACCACUAAAAACCUCAAAUUGUGACAUUUAUAAUAAAUUUAUCCUCAAUUAAUUUUCAUUAAAUUUGACUAAUAUCACAAAAAGUCACAAGUCGGUAUACUUAUGACAAAUAGAAGGUAAAACCCUAAAUUGAUAUACUUGUUGACUGUCAUGUUAUUCAACUCAACAAUUUGACGGUAAAAUUUAACAGAAACUAAUGAAAUAUAAAUUUUUUACAUGUGUACCUGUUUGGGCCAAAUUUGUUCUAUAUGUAUCAGUUUAGGAUUUUUUCAUAAUAUUAAUCUUUUUCUAAAAAAAGUUACUUUUCACAUCUCGAAUAACAAAGAUAAUGGUGUACUAGUGUUUGAAAAAAAGUAGUCCCCUUAUAUGUAUAUGAACACAUACCGUAUACUCACUGUGAAGCCUCAACAUGUAUCCAUAAUCGUAUUUUUGGUCAUAGAAUAUGUAUUAAAAUAAAAAAAAUCUUGCAAUAAUCUCAAGUAUUUUGUAAUGAUAUACAAUAGUAUUUGGUUAAAUGAGAUAAGCAUUCAAAAGUACAUUUGAAUAGUAGUUCCAUACGCGUAGUUAAAUACAUCAUUAAUUAAUACAAAGAGUAAUAGUGUAUUCAUAGGACAAUGUAAAGCAUAACUUUAUUAUUAUUAUUAUUAUUAUUAUUAUUAUUAUUAUUAUUAUUAUUAUUAUAUUAUAGUAUGCAAAAUAAGAUCUCUCUUAACCUUUAACCACCUAAUUUAUGGGUAGUGUUCAAUGUUAUUCUAAUCUUUUAGUGGGGUAAUUGGGCAAAAUUACUUUGAACGUGUUUUCUUAUCAACAAAUUUCUUUUCAUGUGCCUAGGACCACUGGAUCAGAUACACCAUGGCUUGAUCAUGUAGAUCACACAAGUGAGUCCCACAUGAUCGACGGCUACAAUUGCAUUGAGUUGAUAUAUGAGUCCAGGCAAGUGAUUCUUUAUUUACUGCAAUGUACUUUUAAUGGUCAUAGUCCGUUUUGGUUGGAAAAUUGCCUCUAUUUAAAGGUUAUGAGACAAUGAACUUUGGAAUCAUGUCCUUUAUAUGCAUUAUUUCAAUAUUUAGCGACCAAAUAUGGUUAAGAGUGACUGUAAGAUGGAAUACUCUCCCUUUUCCAAGAAUAUUUUUAUUUAUAUUAUGAAUCGGUCGCAUACUUAUAUGAUGCAAAGUGAUCACAAUGUCCAUGUGAUGCGAAUUCUAGUCAAUCUUGUGUAUGAGUUUUGAAAACCUCAUGCCGCCUAUUAUGGAAAAUAUUGGAUUUAUACGUAUCGGUUACACAUAUAAUGAUAAAGUAUUAUUAAAAAUAAUUAAUAUUUAUUUUUGUUUGGUUACUUUUUUUUUUGGUCGGUUUUGUUUGGUUACUUAAUAAGUGUCAUAAGGUGACACCUUCUUAAUAUUUAUUGUUUGGUUACUUAAUAAUUAAAAUUUAUUUUUGUUUAGUUACAUAUAAUGACGUUGCAAUCUAAUCUCUAACUAUUAGUGCUACUGCAUGUAGCCAUUAAGAUCAUUCAUAGGAGAAGACCCUUCUUUUAAUUUUGAUUGAAAUCAUCUUAUAUUAAAAAGGGUAAUUAACUUGCUAUCACAAGCUGAAAAUCUUGACACGUAGUCCAAAACAAAUUAUUAGCUUCUUUUUUUGACAAUACAAAGUAUUUAAACUUUUCGACUUAAAUUAAUGUCAGUAUUGCAAGCAACUUGCGUGUUCACAUGGAUUUAGUAAAUAUCUAAAUGUGAGUAGUUGUGAUGGAAUCUACCACAUUUAAAUUCGACAUCUAAUCACUUAGUCAAUAAUUCGAGGUUUUAAAGCGAAAUGAUUUGACUAAGGUGAAAGUUAUCACCAAAUUAUUUUGAUCAGAGUCUAGAACAGUCAUUUUUUAUAUCAGAUGGAAAGUUCAUUUCACCCUAAAGUAAAAUGUGUUACCCAACAAAAAUUAAACAUAGGGAAGUACCUUGUAUUAACUCGUGAUGAGACCUUUUCGCUUUUAUGCUAGCUUCAGACUCGGUUGGCCCGACCUUAUCCCAAGAAAAAGAUUAAAGUAACAUGUCAGGCGUCACGUGAAACUGACAUCAUCUAAUAAUUGAUAUUCGCUGAGAUCUUGUGCAUUCCGUUCAUGCAAGUGUGGCUUGGAUCCGCACUAAAACCACCGGGCCCUAUGCCUGGUGACCACCACGGGACACUUGGUGAUGGUGAAACGAGACUGGCAACGCUCUCUUGAUUCAUCAAGGCUUCAAGUCGUCUCAAAGUCUUUCGAAUAACAAGAUAGCACGCCGGAGAAAAAAGAUGUCGUGGGGUUCACCCCGAUCCACCGGAGGAUGACGUUUCUCAGUGACGAAAGCGACAUUACGCGAAAUGAGGAUGUCAGGUGAGGGAGACAAUUGAAAGAUGCUUUCGCUCGGUUUGGUCGGACAACGACCAUUGUUAAUAGCCAUGGAGGACCGGAGGAGCGCAGGGUUCCACGAAGUGUGUUUCUCAGUCCUCUAAAACCUAAAACCUACUGUAUUUUGUUGAUGAUCUCUCCGUCUCAGACCAAGAUGAUGAGGUAUAACAACAGCGGAACCCAAAAAUAGAUAAGUGAUGUUGUUCGCGAUGCCGUGGAUGCCUCUUCCUAUUUUAGUACCUUCGUUUUAAUGAGCUCUUAUCAUAUAAGAUCGUUGUUAAUUUAAUUAUAAUACUUUCAUACAUUUUAAGUCUUUCAAAUCUUCGAAAACAGAAAAUUUCGAAUUCAUACACUAUAGAUAUAUGUCUAUAAGAGAGAAAAAGAAUUAACAAUUAUCUUUCCAGCAAAUUAUUGAUUUUACUCCGAGAACUAUAGAUAUAUGUUGGAAGAUAUGGAUCUUGUACAAUAUUCUUUAGGAUUUAGACUGAUAUGCCAGAUCAAUUAAUAUCAGUCUAAUAUCGGAAUUGAUUUUGUAAUAUUCUUUAUUUCCUUUUCUUGCACAUGCCUAGUACAUUACUUGAACAAAAUAGAAUAUACAAAAAUUUCCACGAUUUUCCUUGUUCUUCCUUGUUUUCUUUCAUGGUAUCGGAGCGGGCUUCGCUUCUGAUUUAGUUUUAGCUUCCACUUCCACGCCUCUUUUUUUUUUUGAUUGCCUGCUGGUAUUCUUUUGAGGAACACGCUAACUUGCUAAACAACGUUAGCACUCCGACGUAAGAAUCAGUUUCUCAGGUAAAAAAAGGGCAAGUGAAGAAAAGGAACACCUUACCGUCACCAUGGCAGAAGAUCAACCGUCGUCUACUAGAGAGCAUAUCACAGAAGAGGAAAUUCAAAACUCUACUGUGAACUUACCUACUGAAGCUACCAAAUUCCAAGUCCAACCAAAUGUGGGAUUUUUUCCAUGGUAGCCUGGUCUAGGGCAACCCAUUCCAGGCUAAUCCACAUUGGGUCAGGCCAUGGCAGGUCAACCAUACCAAUGGGUACUUGUUCCUAUUUAGUCCAUCCCAUGGUACUACAGGCUAAGCCCAAGCACUCCAUGGCUUGGAACCCAAAUUUCUGAAGACAAUGUUCAGCCCAAUAAUGGCUCACCAACCAUAGACGGGGCAAGCGCAAAUACUGGGUCUGGAAAUCAAAAUGCGGGAUUAUCAAGUGGGUCGCUUAACCCGGGUAUGGGUUCAAAUACCUACCCAACAAUAGCAGCCGAAUUCUUGCCGUACCCUCUCUCCGCCAUUUCCGAUCGGCCAGAACUCGGUGAUCCAUUGUACGUAUCUAUUGUCGAUGGACUAGAGAUAUGACUCAUUAGUCAACAACUAAGGGGAUCUGAGAACUAUUCAAUCUGCGCUCAAGAAUUUCGUUGAGCCCUUGUUACUAAAGAUAAAGAAGGGUUUAUCGAUAGAUCUAUUCCCGUUCCGAUAGACAAGAGGAUGGUGAGACAAUGGAAGAAAUGUAAUCAACUAGUAAGAACGUGGAUUGGGAACUGCAUUAGCCUAGAAAUUGCCGCUGGACUUCCUCCCACAGAAGAUUCAAAAAAGAUGUGGGACAAUAUAUGGGAAAUGUAUGGAAAAUUGGACCGUGCACAUUUUUUUUCCUUGACCCAAGCACUUUCCAAACUGAAACAGGGGAAUACGAGCAUUACAGCCGUUUUUAACAAGUUGUCCGCUCUCUGGAACGAGUUGGAGGCAGCAGAGGAGAAACUUGAAGGGCAUAAGACCACUUUGCAGCAAUACAAGGCGAUACGAGACAGAGAGAAAGUUACCCGUUUCUUGCUCAUUCUAAAUGACUCUUACCUGACGUCUAGAUCUUAGAUCUUAGCCAUGGAACCCAUGCCAUCGCUCGGCCGUAUUUUCCAGUUGGCCAUCCAAGAAGAGAGUCAGAGACUCACGGCAAUGGAGCAUGCGAGAGGAGCAGAGACGCUGGUCUUGGCUGCUCGCAGGGAGAAAGGAGACGGAAACCGGAAAGUUUCAGAACGAGGGAUGCAGCCAGAAGAGCUAGGGUUUUCACAUGCUUUUAAAGUGCCUGAGAUGGACGGUCUAAAUUGUGAGGCGCGAUCGGACGGCUGGAAGGGGCCCGAUUCCUCAUUAGGAUCGGAUGGUGGGCAUGCGGCUGUUUUUAAAGGAUCCAACGGUCCACAAUUUUAUGUGAGUUCAAAGGCUUAUGGGCAAAAUAUAAGAGGGAAAGAUAAGUAAUUUUGUGAAAACUGCAAGCGACCCCACCACACCAUUAACAAUUGCUGGAAAUUGCAUGAUAAGCCCAGUGAAAAAGGAAAAUGGGGGAAGGAAUCUUCAAUAGCAACUUAUUAGACCACUGGUUCGAAUAAUGAUCAGCUCAUCACUCAAGAGCAGUAUCAGCAGCUUAUGUAGGCAUUGCAAAAAAUGGACAUCUCCAACAAAGGAAGUAGCUUCUCAAGUAUUUUUCAUUGUCUGAUAAAUUCUAUUUCUCAAAAUUCUUGGAUAAUCGACUCAAGGGCUAGUGAUCAUAUUGUCUAUGAUAAGGGCUUCUUUUCCAUUAUUCAUGAAAGUUUAAGUAUUCAUGUUUCUGUACAAUUGCCUUACCUAUGUGACCACUACAAGAAUUGUGAAUCUUAGCCCUCAAAUAACCCUAAGAAAUGUCCUCUAUGUUUCAGAUUUCCAGUUCAAUCUGUGUGUCUAGAGUCUGUAAGGAAAACUUUUGUCAAAUUCUUUUCAAUGCUGAUAUUUGUUUUUUCGGGCCCUUUUGACUGGGAAAUUGAUGGGCUUGGGUAAUCUCUCCAAUGGACUUUUUUUUUUUUUUUUUUCUGGACUAGCAUUCCAAGAACUUUAGAUUUAUCUCAAGUUUUCUCCAAUAAGCAAUCAUUGUGUAAUGUCACUGCCAAUGAUAAAAAUUUCCUUUUGUAUUCUAGAAUGGGCCAUAGUGCCUUGUUUCCUUACUCUCAGUGUCAUAUCUGCCCACUUGCAAAACAAUCACAUGCACCCUUUCCGGUUAGCAAAAGUCGUUCCACUAGUACUUUUUCGCUAAUUCAUGUUGAUGUAUCGUGACCGUAUCAUACACCUAAUCAUGAUAGAUCAAGAUAUUUUCUUACUAUUGUUGACGACUAUUCUUGAGCAACAUGAAUCUUCCUCAUGCAAACUAAGGGUCAGGUUCUAUCCCACUUAAAGGAAUUUAUUUCCUUAUCAAAGACCCAAUUUGGAAAAUCUAUCCAGCAGAUUAGAAUAGAUAAUGGAAGAGAAUUUUUCAACUAUGAAUGCGCAUCAUAACUUGCAUCCUAUGGCAUCUUGCAUGAAAGUUUGUGCACAUACACUCCACAACAAAAUGGACUAGUGGAAAGAAAGCAUCGACAUAUUCUGGAAGUGGCAUGUGCCUUGAAGUUUCAAGCCUCUUUCCAGAUAAUCUUUGGGGAGAUUGCAUGAUCAUGACAAUCUACUUAAUUAAUCGGAUGCCAACAAAGGUGUCGAACGGUUGAAGCCCUUUCGAAGUCAUUUUCCAGAGGAAGCCAAAACUAGAUCACCUAAGAAUAUUUGGGUGUUUAUGCUACGUUGCUACGGUAGGCCCUCGGGAAAAAAUGAGUCCUCAUGCCCAACGGUGCAUAUUCAUGGGAUACCCAAAUCUCCAGAAGGGGUAUCGCGUGUUUCAACCUUCUACAGGAGAAUUCCUCAUAAGUAGAGACGUAGUCUUCCAUGAAGACAUGUUUCCAUUUGCUGAAGAUCAAUCCUCAAAAGAAAAUGAUCUCAAUCCUUCUCGAGCUAUUUUCUCUUAAGACGAUAUAUCCAAGGAUCCUGAAUAUGUUAUGAUAGGAAAUUCGGGAACUUUCAAUAGUCCUUCCACAAGCGAUCGAACUACUAUUGAGGCUAUUUCUCCGUCACCAAGAUUUGAGGAUGCAACUACUAAAGAAGCUCCGGAUCUCAUGACAGCACCACCUAUGGAAGAGUCUCUACCAUCAAGUUCAGAUCCUCCUCAACGUUUAGGGCGCGCCAUACACCCACCAACCUGGACUAAGGAUUGUGUUUGUGCCACACACAACUCACCAGGUAUUCACUAAUCCCAUCUCAUCCUAUGUCUCUUUCAAUCAAUUGUCUUCGGAACAUAGACAAUGUGUUAGUCGCAUAUCUGAAGAAAGGGAACUAGCUAGUUAUGAUGAAGCAUCCAUGGAUACACACUGGCAAAAGGCCAUGACAGCAGAAUUGCAAGUACUAAAUGACAACCAUACAUGGGAUCUUAUGACUUUACCUUUUGAUAGUAAAGCAAUAGGAUGCAAAUGGGUUUACAAGAUAAAUUUUCAGGGAAGAUGGAUCGAUUGAAUGAUAUAAGGCUCGCUUGGUGGCCAAAGGGUUUACACAACGAGAAGGAUUCGACUAUCAUGAGACCUUCUCCCCAAUAGCCAAAGAUGUCAUGGUCUGCUCCUUCCUAUCAGUUGCAGCUUUCCAAGAUUGGUCAUUACACCAAAUGGAUGUCCACAAUGCAUUUUUACAUGGCGAUUUGGAUGAAGAAAUUUAUGUGGAGCUUCCUCAGGGUUUACGGAGACAGGGGAAGAACAGAGUAUGUCGUCUCCGCAAAUCCCUUUAUGGUCCCAAACAAGCAUCCAAACAAUGGUAUGCCAAGUUCGCGAAUGCUAUCAUAGCAACAGGUUUCAAACAGUCCAAAUAUGAUUACGCUCUUUUUAAAUGGACGAAAGGUACGUCAUCCAUAUAUUUAAUGAUAUACGUUGAUGAUAUACUCAUUAUGGGUAACGAUGCAAUUGCCAUAAAGAGCUUCAAGGAAUACCUGCACUUGACAUUCCACAUAAAGGAUUUGGGAUCACCCAAAUAUUUUCUGGGAAUAGAAAUUGAUCGAUCAAAUCAAGGGAUUUUCCUUAGUCAACGAAAAUUCGUGCUAGAGAUCAUAUCAUAAGUAGGUCUAUCAGGAAGCAAACCAGCAACUGUUCCAAUCGAACAAAAUGUCAAGUUAACUAUGGUGGGCCAUGAUGAAGGAAAUCUCCAAGAUGAUCCUGUUCUCAAAGACUCGUCAGGUUAUUAAAGGCUGGUAGGAAAGCUCAUAUAUUUGACAUGACUAAACCAUAUAUAUGUUAUGCUGUGCAGACACUCAGUCAGUUUAUGCAUAAGCCAAAGUAGUCCCAUAUGAAUGCCGCCCUAAAGGUUGUUAAGUAUUUGAAGAAAUGUCUAGGAAUUGGAAUUCUUCUUUCAAAUAGUUGCAACAUGGAGAUGACGGCUUAUUGUGACGCUGAUUACGCAACUUGUCCGAUGAGCAGGAGAUUUAUUAUAGGAUUUUGUAUCAUGCUGGGAAAAUCUUUACUUUCUUAGAAGACAAAGAAGCAGCCAAUAAUUACCAAAAAAAGAAGAAGAAGCAGCCAACCGUGUCUUUAUCUUCAGCAGAGGCUGAAUACCGAGCUAUGGCAAAGACCACUUGUGAAAUAGUGUGGUUGCGAGGCUUGCUUCGGGACCUUGGGGUGCAAACAAAGGGACCAACCAUGUUGUUUUGUGAUAAUGAUGCAACACUUAAACUUGCGUCCAAUCCUAUACUGCACGAAAGAACAAAACACAUAGAAGUAGACUGUCACUUCACUCAAGAGAAGAUUCAAGAGGGGAUAAUCAAAACAAGAGGAAUUGGGACUACAGAACAGCCUGCAGAUGUCUUCACCAAACCCCUAUGAGAAAACACGCAUAUCUACUAAGCAAGCUAAGUGUCUUAGACAUCUACAAGCCACCGGCUUGAGAGGAAGUGUUGGAAGAUAUGCGAUCUUGUACAAUAUUUUUUAGGAUUUAGAUUGAUAUGCCAGAUCAAUUAAUAUCAGUCUAAUAUCGGAAUUGAUUUUGUCAUAUUCUUUAUUUCAUUUCCUUGUACAUGCCUAGUGCUAUAACCGUAGAGCAUUGUACAUUACUUGAAUAUAGAAUAGAAUAUACAAAAAUUUCCACGAUUUUCCUUGUUCUUCCUUGUUUUCUUUCAAUAUAUAACUGUGGGGGCUUUCAAAAUUAGGUAUUAAUUGCUUAUUUUGAAUUUUUUUUAUAUGCAGUAAGGUAUAUGUAAUAAGGUCUAUGAAGUAGACAUAUGUUAAGUAUAGGUGUACGCACAUUAGCGCACACUCGUGAUUGCUAGAUCUUUACAUCGGUCCUAACACUUUUAUUAUUUUCGUCUCUUUCUAGAUUGGAUUAAAUGGCUGGAACUCCCUUCUGGAUGCAAAUGGGCAGUCGCCGUAUUCCUACGCUGUGAUGAGGAAUAAUCACUCCUACAAUGAGCUUGUGUCCUGUAAACUUGCUGACAGGAAGAACAGUCAAAUUUCCGUGAUAAUCGGAAGCGAAAUGGAGGACUUGCAGCCAUCAGUUGCGCAAGAGUCUGGCCAAUGUGCCCAGUCUCAGUCGAGUGUGGGCUCGUGCAUGAGAUGUGCGGUCGCGGCAGCAAAAUAUGGUAGGAGAUUUCCGGCCUCACAUGGGCUGCUUCAUCGGCCCUAUAUCCAUUCAAUGCUUGUUGUUGCAGCUGUCUGCGUCUGUGUUUGCCUCUUCUACAGAAAUAUACAAAGGUUGGUUGUGGUGAUACUCCCUUCAAUUGGAAAAAAUUGGAUUAUGGUGCUAUUUAGGGAGUACAUCUACUAACACAUAAGACGAAGCAAAAGGAAGCUAAUGUAAAUAUGAAGGCAGACUAGAGUGCAUUUGUAUCUGGAGAGGAACUGCUUCAAGAUGACUAUGCAAGUGAGAGGUUUCAAAUACCCAUCAAGAAAUUUAGCAGGGUUUGGCAUAUCUGAAUUUGCAUACCCCUCUAUUUAAUAAGCUGCGGUGUGAGAAGUACCAAGUUUUCUCUGACCUAGUAGUUCUGGAGAAUACCUGGACAUAGGAACCGGUUAAAUUCUGUGUGUACCGCAGCAUGAGAGUAAUUCGGGAAUGAGAUGAGAGGAAAGAUGUUGGGUGAAUUACAACUAAAUAUAUGUGGCGAGCAGGACAAAAUGCGCUUUGCCAUAAUGCCAAAAUCGAGGGAGGAUGUCUACAAAAUGGGGAUGAGCUAAAAAAUUCUUUAUCAUAGAGGAAGUACUACUGUGGUAAGUUAUAUGUUUGUUAUUUCUGUUCCUUUUUGGGUUUUUAAUUUCUGAUUUCUUUGACUCAUGGGUGCUAAACGAGCGAUACCGACUCUGGAUGAGUAGCUGAGUUUGUUUUAACUGUAAAGUUGAUGGCGACUCCUUAGGGCUGUUGAGAUUAUUGUAUUAUUUUAUUAGUUGAAAAUAUUUGUUCGGGUAUAUCUUGCAAUCUGCUGUAUUUCCUCCUGGCCUGUUCGGUCAUCACUGAAUCUCGAUGGCUUCCAACUUUGUUUGGGCGCUCGGUUUGGAUGUUUGGUGCUUCUGUAUCUUUGCUUAUUAAUUUGCAGUUGAGAAUGAGACGCGAAAUGGUCAUUGGGACUUUGGAUGGCACGUAUCUGCAUUCUUUACUGCACCGGACUUUCAAUAAUCGUACUUCAUUUUAGUUUGGAAAAUUGCCUCUGUUCUAGCAUCCUGAGGUAACGAAGUUUGGAGCCUAUGUCCUUUAAUUGUGAAAUGUCUGACAGUGUUUGAAGAUUAGAUGUGAUUAGGGCUGCCCGGGAAGAUGGAGAUUCCGGGAUGUCCCUGUUCAUUUUAUAGAUCGGUCGCAUACUAAUAUGGCGCAAAAAGUCGAUGAAGAUGUUUGUGCGCUGUGGAUUUAACAGACCUCGCGUCUGCACUUUGACAUUUUGGGUGGGUUCACGGAUAGGAAAUCUGGCGAAUUGUUUUCUUGAUUACUUCUGGAAAUGCUGGAUUUGUGCGUGUAAUAUGUCUAGUCAUGCACCGAUUCCAUCGGUACGUCUUAAGCUUUUCGAAUUGACAAUGCCACGGUCUGCUUUUUUAUCGAUUUAGCUUUGUGAGAGUGAUUUUGAGGGGAAUAUUUGAUUAGCCUUAUUGUUGUUUUGGGCUACGAGGAAAUGUUCAAACUCACCAAAUAGGACGAGAAUUUUCUCAGAGAUCUGCAAAUAUCUAUUUAAUCAUCGUUGUAGGCAACCACUGUAUACACCAUUUCGGUACUGGAAAAUCACAAAAAUGGCCAUGAACCUAUUGCAAAUGUACUGUUUCUGUUCUAAUUCAUUUUUUUUUUUCUAGUUGGGUCUUAAAUUUUUUGUAUUUGUAUCAAUUUAGUCAAUUUAGCUAAUUUUGAGUGGAAAUUAUUAACAUGGGCGUCGGUUGUGACAUGACUAGUGCUGAUGUGGAUAAUUUUUAAAUAAUAUUUUAAUAUUUUUUCGAUUUAUUUAUUUAUUUUCUUUUUAUUUUCUUCCCUUCUUCCUCCCGUUGGUUGUUGAGGUCCACUCGUGCCAAGACGACUAGCAUAAUAUCAAAGAUUUCCGGCCAAAUUUGGCAAGGUUGAUUCAAUUAGCAAUAUUUGAAAAAUGUUUAGGAUAAAAUUGACAUGAUUAAAAUGUUUAUGACUGAAUUAAUUGAAUUAACUCAAUUGCGAUAAAUUUUAAGAUUUUUUUUUGGUUACUCUUCCUAUUAACAAUAAUUGCCUCUGAAAUUGAUUGUCAAUUAAUCGGCAUGUCACCAAGAACUAUUUCACUUUUUUCAUGUAUUUUCACAAGUAAUUGCCUUUCUUGAAUGUCUGCUCCUCCUUAAUGUAUGGUCGGUUCCACCCCCCACCACCCCCCCCAACUUAAUGAGGUUUCUUGCAUUUGCUUUUGUUGUCUUUCCUUUGUGGUGAUUAUACUAAUUUUAGCUUUCUUUAAUUAAUUUGAUUGUUAGUUAUGUGUUAAUAUUGUAAUUAGCAAUUCUUAUUCUUUUUUGCCGUCAUCAUAUAUUUCACUCAUCACUGAACUCUGGAGGUUUCGCACUCCAUUAAGCCAAAAUAAGUUAUACCCACUAAUCUAUUCCUUUAAUUUCUGUUAAUAUUCAUUCGAUUUUUUACUUUUUUACAAAGUACUAUUUGUUUUUCAUUCUAUUCAUUUCACUGUUAGCAAUGCUGUGUUUGGGAGAUUGGGGAAAAUGGCAGUGAUGAAAAUUUAAGUGGAAAAAGCUUAAAUAUUUUAAGUUUUCCGCGAGAUGGGAAAAAGGAAGGAAAUCUUAAAAUUAUACUUUUUUUUUUUCUAAUUUCGUUCACCUAAGGGCUCCCGAACAGAGCCUUAGCGUGCGAUAUCUGUAGAACGGAGAAGCUUUCAUUUAAGAAGAGAGAGAGAGAGAGAGAAUCCAAAAUUUGGACGGAGGGUUCGCCAAAUCAAAUUUCAUGUUGCGAGUUUUUUUAAUAAAAUUCUACGCCCACGAUGAAGUUAUUAUCAAAUAAAUUCCCUGAUUCUUCUUUCUUGAUCUUGUGAUCCUCUCAUAUAGGUUUGGAUAAGAACUCUUUGUUCUUAUUCAAUCAACUAGAAUAAUGUAAAGAGAUUAUGAAAGAAGAAGAAAAGAUAAACGGGAAGAGAGAUUAUGAUAAUGUCGAAGGCUAUAUGUCAGCCUCCUAUAAGUCCACUUCAACACAUGGCUUUUACAUAUAUUAUAUUAAAUUCUCACGCUUGAACUUGCAAAGAUGCUUCCACAAAUAUAAAGUCCAAAAGCAAAUGGCACACAUAACAUAUAUUCAAAGCACACGAUGAACCCUAGAAGUCCUUACGGGCAAAUUGACAGACAUGUCGCUAUGGUAAUAAAGGAUCAGAUGCAGGAAUCCAUUCCCAGACAGGAAAGACAGCUUGAGAGUUCUUCUUUAUGCACUUCUCGUUUGGUCUCUUCAUCCUCUUCUUUUGCUUCAUCCUCUUCUUUAUCUGUCGAGAUCGGGUAGACAUUGGCGAGUUUCUCAACCACCUUGCUCAUUGCCAGCCUGUUCGCACCGUAUUGGUCCAAGCACUCCACUGCAAUCUUAGCUAUGGUUUGUAUUUUAUCCAUUUCACCUUCACUAGCACUCUCAGAGCUUAUGACAUCAGAGAGUGUGUCAUCCUUCACGGAAGAGAUGAAAAGACGGAUGGUAUUGAUUGACUUUUCAGACUUCAUAACAUGAAGUUUCUUUCCCAUGAGCAACUCCAUAAGGACAACUCCAAAGCUAUAUACAUCGCUUUGAAUUGUUAGCAUGCCAGUGACUAAAUAUUCCGGAUCGAUGUAGUGCAGGGAGUCUUUUUUCUGAAUGGCUACGAUAUGUCUAUGCUCUGGUGAUAUAAGUACCGAAGUUCCAAAAUCGGAUAUCUUCACUGAGUUGUUUCGACCCAUAAGCAUGUUUGCUAACUUGAUAUUGCCAUGAAAGAUUGGGGGUUGUGUGCUGGAGUGCAUAUGAUUGAGUGCAAGAGCAGCUUCAAUAGCUAUUUUGAAGCGUUGUUCCCAUGUCAACUUGUUCUGUUGGAUGAGUUUGAAGACGGUGGUGCUAUUUGGAAUGUAUUCAUAAACCAGCAAUGGUAUUUUAGUCUCCAAACAUAUGCCUUUGAGCUUCACCACAUUUUUGCAGCUUAUGUUCAUCAAAAUUUCAAGCUCACGCUGGAAAUCCUUGUUUAAUAGAGACUUGUCCAUAUCUUUAGGCUUCUUGACCACGACCACGGUGUCCUUUGCUAUUGUCCCUCUAUAAACAGAACUAGAAUCGUCGUCGUUGAGCUUAUUACUGUCAUUAUAGUUGUUGGUUGCUUCUACCAACUCCACCUCCGUGAAGAUUUGAACUUUGCGAUGUUUCAAGGUUUCUCCUCCAUUUUGUGUGAAGUUGAACUUUCUGAGUCUCAACUUCAUUGUGACCGAGACAGAACCAGUAACAGUUAUGCCGAAGACGGACACAGCAAUUGCUGCCAAAGAGUAUAUGUUGCCAGAUUAGUAAUUCAAGCAUGUAAUCCUCAUACAAUCCACAUAAUUCAUUUAAAGAAAUAAAUUUCGAACACACAAACAUUUACUUUUUUUUCCUGCGCAAAAUCCAUCAAUCACUAUCGAUUUGGAAGUUAGUCAAUAUUUUAAAAUAUAAUCACCCAAUUAAAUGUUAACGGAAAUGGUUUAUGUAACAAAUGGGUUGCACGUAUGGUCCAACAAUCCUUACAAAAGUUCUUAUUAAAAAAUGACAUGUGUCAUCAUAAACUGAACAAGUAAUCAAAAUGAACCAAAGUCUUCUAUUACUCCUCCGAAUAUCUGUCUUGAUUAUAAUGGAGACGCUUAGUAAUAAAACAAAAGAGAAUGAGAAAGGAUUCACCUCACAUUGUUUUGGCUCUUUCCAUUUACACAUGGUACGAAGACUCAGUGGAAUUUUAUAACCGAUUAUGCACGUUAUCACUAUCAUGAUUAAAUGUUUUUCCAUCCAUUUUAUUGGAGGAAACUCUAACUGAUGGGGCUACGGACAUAUACAUCACCCAUAUUCGCAUAUAUAUGUAUGCUUCAUAACCCACCAAUGGAAAGCAUGAUUGAAAACAGAGUUCUCAUGCCCCAUGGCCACCCUAUCCCGUGCCCACAAACAUUCACGUUCAGAUCCAUUCCUUUUUUGUUGCUACCAUUAUCCAAACUUUCCACAUUUAAAUAAAUAUAUUCUAGUGUGUGUAUAUAUAAUUUCAUUAGCUUUAUUUAAAAUGAGAAAAUAUUUUUUAUAACCUGAAAAAGACUAAUACAUCCACUAUAAAGUCUAAAUUAAAAUAUGAAUUAUUAUUUUGUGCCGUCACGGCGUAAUAAGAUAAUGUUGAGAUGGCACGGUAUAAUAAUCCAACCGCAUCGCCUUCUUCAACAAUCACCUUGAUAUGCUAUUGCUUAAAAUUGUGCUCCUUUUUACUUUUCCUUUUACUAGUUCAAAUUCGCUCACUUUCGCUAGAGAUUUUAGGGGUUUUUUCCCUCUUGAAAUCUGCUGGUCUAGUUGUUCUUUUUGGCUCAAGAUUUGCAGGUUUGGUCGGAGGAGGGAUUUUCACUUGGAUCUUGCAGUGUAUCUUCCCACGAACGUAGUUUCAAAGUGCAAGCUUCAGAUAAACGGGAAAAAAAGGCUAGAAGGGAGGUAAAAGAAAAACAAAAGAAAGUUGUAAACGGGUUUAGCCUGGGACUGAAUAGGAACGCGUGGUAGCAUGGGGCUCACUGCUUGUGCUUUCCAGGAAUUUACAUAGGCUAAUAAUCCUUAAAACAAAUAUGUCAAACCUACUGCAAAAUCAACUAUAAGUUAAUAGAAUAUAAACCAUCCAAUGAAUGAAGGGAUAUAUUUGGAAUUACCUGCACCAGCUAUGACGCCAGGAGCAAUUGGGCAACGGUCUUUAUUGUUCUUCUUUCCUUUGUACGUCUUUCCAAAUGAGCAAAUGGCUACAUUAUGCAAAAGACAAAUUGAACCGUAUCUCGAUUAAUGGCAAAAACAAAUUGAAUAGGUUGGUGUAGGGAUUAUUAGUUAGGUAAUGCUAUCCCAUUCAGGUCUUGGUUGUAUUAUUGCGACAUGUAUCCACUCUCUCUUAAGAUAUCUCUUCUUUCUCUACUCUCUAUCUCUCUCCUGGUCGAAGAUAGUACCGGGGACUUGUCACUGCAAGAUGAGGUACAAGCCAGACUCAUAAAGGAAGGAAGAGAGAGACAGAGUCGUCAUCUUUGUUGCUUGCAACGGUGGUACUGGGGACUUGUCAAUGCCGAGAUGAGGUACAAGCCAGACUCAUGAAGGGAGAGAGAGAGACAGUCGUUAUCUUUGUUGCUUACAGUGGUGGUACUGGGGACUUGUCACUGCCAAGAUGAGGUACCAGCCAGUCUCAUGAAGGAAGGAAGGAAGAGAAAGAGAGAGAGAGAGAGAGAGAGAGAGAGAGAGAGAGAGAGAGAGAGGCGGCUGUGGUGGUCCAACGGCUGGCUCGCCUAAAGUGGUGAGCGGAUGACGGUGGCAGCGGCAAUGGCGUGAGUCGCAAGACGGAGAGUGGAGGAAGAGGUUGCAGCGCAAAUCGAACGGCGGCUAAUUAAAUGGGGUAAAACUAUAUGGAAUUAGUAGGUAGAUACCAUACUUCUCCAUCAGGCUCUUGCACGUUGAUUAAUUAAUUACCCACACAAUUCAUUCGAGUGCGAUAAUGAAUGAGGAGUCGGGUACGUUGAAUUACCUUUACACCCUCCGAAGGGACUAUAAGGAUUCCCAUGGUACCCGGGCUUGCAAACGCAACGAUAACCCGAUCCAUUCCCGAAGCCUUUACAAUUCGCGUUUUUACCACAGGCAUAGCUCGACCUGUUCCGCUUGGCCAUAUCGCAUAUCUCGUCGGAUUCGACCAUCCAGUCCAGAACAAGGCUCGAGUUGUUACCCACAUCCUGGAACGUCGGGAGAGUCAAGUUUGAGAUAUUGAAUGGCCUGUUGUCCACCAUGAAGGCCCGUGCACAGUGGCCGCGUUCCGAGUUCGACACGUUUUGGCCGAUGGAGGAGAGGGAAAUGUUGAGCGUCGUGAGCCCCGCUGGUAUGGAUGCUUGACAGCAAACUUGACCGGAGCAAGUGGUCUCCUUGGCGAGGUCGACAUUGCUGCUGCAGUAGGAGGCGCAACCUUUCCUGACCGUCCCUUCUUUAUUGGCCAUGUCCGCAAGGGCGUUGCAGCCGACGACGAUGAGCUUGUUCUGGGUUUCUGAGAAUCUGUACCGAGGAUUUGGAGGUAGAUUGAUGGACACGUUUCUGUUUGCUAGGCUGCGAUUCUGAUCGUAGCACUCGUAUGCUUCGGGGAGGCUGACGACCAUGGUCGAGUCCCCAACCGAGAUUUUGAGUAUCGUAAGAUCCCCCAACAUUAGUCGAAAACCGCUCCCUUCGGUGUUGGUGCAAUCGAGCAAAAAAUCUGUGGACCUCGGACAAUUGGGUUCCAGCCCGAAUGGAAAAGGUACGGUCACGUCCCCACACUGGUGUGUGCACUUUUUGGGCAACGCGGCGCGGCCUUGUUGAAACCACCAGGCCACAGCCACCGUUAGAAGCCAAUGCCCUAUCUUCAUUUCGAAAAAAACUCUCUAAAACUCUCUCUCACGUAAUUUUUGUCCGUUUUGGGACCUUUGUGCUUCUGUCCGCGUUUAUAGAGUGGAAGCCGUUCUCACCGACCCAUUAUAUACACAUCGACGAAUUGGCGAAAUUUAAGUACAACAAUGGAGGGCAGCAGGGGCAAAUUGUGUCAAUAGAACAAAUUGGAGGGACCCGACUGCAUAUAUCAACAAAUGCAAGACAGAAUUAGAAAGAAAAAACAAUAUACAAAGGUUUUACACAUAAAAGGUAGUGGACCCUUAGUCCUUGUCCUAGUGAAAGGGAUGGUCACAGCAUAUGAAGAUGAAUACAUGAUUGUGAUGUUGAGGCUACUUAGCAAACUUUGCUCUAUCUUGUAUCAAAGAAGAAACCAGCAUACAUAGUAAUGAGAAAUUCUAAAUGCGUAAAGAACUUCUAGUAUAACAUUUUUACUAAGUGAUAUGACAAAUUUAAAUUGAGCAUUCAAAUAAGUGAAAUCUAUUCUUUGAAUGCCUGCCUUGUUAGAAGCCUAAAAGAAAUUGUCACAUUAUUUAUUAUAGAAAUUUUAGGGUGGCCGUUACAUUUUAAAAGAACAUUCACAUAUCGGCCACAAGUUCCACUAUAGGAGAAUUGCCAACCGGCUUGAAAGGUUGAUGAAACUCAAGGUGACACCAAAAAUAAGAUGGCCCUAGAAUUACGAUGAGAUUUAAACAUUUUUAUUAGAGUUAUGUUUAAGAUGGCCUUACAAUUCUAAAUACAAAGGGAAAAAAGCUGAGAAAAUUUUCAUAUAGAUAUUUUUUUGGCCAUCAUGGGUAUAAGAUCGCAAAUAAAUAAAAUCUAUACAAGACCAAAAAAUCAACUAGAGCUUUUGAUCAUAAUCAUUUUACAGUUUCUCAGGGUGCAAGAUUUUAGGUUCAAUUGGAAGAUUAAUACCAAAGAAAAUAAUGAAGUUUAUCUAUGACCCGGAAUUGGAAUAGAAUUUUAAUAUGAUUUCUUUAUAAAUAUAGCAUUACUCUUAUAGAAAUAGUGAAGACGAAGUAAAACGAACAUUAGGAAUUAUCACCACUGGGGAAAAGGCUUACUUCCUAGUAAUUUUAGAACUCUUGAGCCUUACUAGUCACAUGUUUGAAUUUGCCCAGGUUCUUCUUGACCUCGAGAAAUCUUAAUUCGUUUCUUGUUUAAGUUCGACUGUACCAUGACAUAGGAUUGUCCUAAUUGUACUCUCAUUAUAUCUUGGUGAGCUGAUGGUGAUAGGCCUAUCCAAAUUAGGAGUAGCUCAAAUGGAAUAUAACGUCACGCGUGUGGAACUCUUAUGGUAAUUCUCUGAGGUAGUCACCAGUAGUGGUCACCCUUUCCUCCCAUUAUACCUAUCAAAUAAUAUUAUCAUAGUAAUGCUAUUGUGACAUACAAUGGUAAAUUUAUUUGCAUAAUUAUCCUUGCAAGAUGAGAAAUGCUAUACCGGAAAAAAAUGUGGAAUAAUUAUAAGAUAUACAACUAGUGUAAACAAAUAAAUUUAUUUGUGGUUGAUUAAUUAUAGGAAAUAAAUUAUUUUACAUGAGCGGCCGCAUACACCAUUGACUUGAAAGAGUGUGUAGCUAUAAUCCUUAAAUUAAGGAUGAAAAAGGCUGCCUAUGUAAAAUUUCUUUUAUAAUGGUGUGUGUAUGAUCUAUUUUUCCAAAAAAUAUAUAGAGAGGUAUGCUUGCUAGAUGAUGUAGUAUGUAAUUGCUAGUUAAGUAAAUGAAGGCGCACUUCGUUGGUCUCAUGCUUUCAGUAAUUAAUCGACCACAAGAAUGUAUGAUGCCACAUUAUUUUGUGAUUUAAUUUGUGAUAAAUAAAUUGUUGACACAUUUUUUAAGGGCUUAGAUUUUUUUUUGGGAAAAACAGUAAGUUUACCAUGGUCUCUGAACACACUGACUUGAAUUCUGACACUCCCUCUCAAAUUUCUCUUGCCCGUUAUUCCUAUUUUUCUCACAUUUUGUUGGUCUUUCUACUCAUUAAUUAUCUAGUAGGAAAAUAAUCACGUGUCAACUACAUAUAAAAUUGCUUGUAUAGAGAUUUUGUAGUUGUGAUUUUCUUUUUGGAUUUUUAUUGUGAGUGCACAGUUGGAAAGAGGAGUGCUAGACGUUGCCCUAAUUAAACAUAUGAAAUCUUGUUAGUGAGUUCUUAAGCGUAAUGGUGAAGUAUACUUUAUGGAAAAAUAUUUAAUUUAUAAAUAUUAAUUACACCUAUUACCAUAAAAUUAAGUGUCUAAAAUUAUCAAUUUAGAUGUCUUUUUCUAUUUGAUUACUUAGUGUCAUUAGAGCACCCCUUCUUAAUGUGUGAAAGUUUAUAGAAUUCAGCAAUCUAAAUCUCUAAACUAUUAGUAAAUACAAUGUGGUGUAAUUAAGAUCACUUAUAGGAGAAGACUCUUCUUAGGCCAUGAACAGAACAACGAUUUUAUUUCAGUUUUGAUUGUAUUUGUCUUAAAUUAAAUGGUAAUUGACUUGCUCUCACGACCCUGAAACUUUGAAUACGAUCCAAAAAAAAAAAAAACCUUUUUAAUAUAAAGAAUCCAGAUUAUUUUGCCUUAAACAAAUGUCAGGAUGUACGCAAUUCGCCUAUUCAUAUGCAUCUAGUAAAUUUCUAUCUACAUGAAGGUGGGUAAAGUUAUUUUGAAUGUGAGAAGAAAACGACAUUCAAUUAAUAAUUCGAGGUUUUAAAACGACGUGAGAACAAAUUAUUUCGUUCGUCGAGUCCUCUUUCGGGCGGUCAUUUUUUAUAUUAUCCAUUGCGCAGCAACGUUGACAAGGGGGAAAGGUGUUCCACGAAAAGGGGGAACAUAGAAAACCACAUUGUCCUCGACUUUUGAAGAGACCUAUUCCUUUCCAGUUGGCCUGACCCCGCACCGCACCCACAAGCAUUAACAACAUGCUCCGUAUUUUAUGAUGAGCCCAGUGGAUCUCCAACGUCGAUUUAUGUGGGCUCCACAUGAGAUGGACGCCAUCUAACUGCUGGAAGUUCAAUUGGAUUUUGUGCAUCUGGUCCGGGCAAGUGUAGCCUGGAUGCGAAUAAAAACCUCCGGGCCCAACGCUCGGCGACUGACCGCAUGAUGUCUCGUCCGGGAAGACUUGGUGACCCUGCACGAAGACUUACGCGUCUUCUCGAAGUCUUUUGCAGGACAAGACAAAAAGCGAUAGAAAAACUAAAGAAAAGGGAGAUCGCGGGAUUCCCAAGAAAAAAAUUAUGAUUACUUAAACAAAGAAUAAUUUUUUGUUCUUCAGAAAAUAUUGUUUUCGAGUUAAUAUUAUGAAAAAUCUUAAACCAAUAUAUUUAUAAUAAAUUUACAAAAAAAAAUUAACUUUUUGUUUAUGAAAUACCUCAAAAUGAUACAUAUGUGACAAAUUUACUAUAAUAUAAUUUUUUAAUCACUAAAAACCUCAAAUUGUGACAUUUAUGACAAAUUUACCCUUAAUCUAUUUUCAUUAAAUUGGAUUAAUAUCAUAAAAACCACAAGCCGGUAUACUGAUGACAAAUAGAAGGUAAAACCCUAAAUUGAUACACCCGUUGAUUGUUACGUCAUUCAACUCAACAAUUUGACGGUAAAAUUUAACGGAAACUAAUGGAAUGUAAAUUCGUCACAUGUGUACCUAUUUGGGCCAAAUUUGUCGUAUAUGUAUCAAUUUAGGAUUUUUCCAUAAUAGUAAUCUUUUUCUAAUAAAAGUUACCUUUCACAUCUCAAAUAACAAAGAUAAUGAUGUACUAGUGUUUGAAAAAAAGUAGUCCCCUUAUAUGUAUAUGAACAAAUACCGUAUACUCACUGCGAAGCAUAAUCGUAUUUUUGGUCAUAGAAUAUGUAUUAAAAUCAUAAAAAAAAACCUUGCAAUAAUCUCAAGUAUUUUGUAAUGAUAUACGGUAGUAUAUGGUUAAAUCAGAUAAGCAUUCAAAAGUUCAUUUGAAUACUAGUUCCAUAAAUGUAGUUAAAUACAUCAUUAAUUAAUAAAAAGACUAAUAGUGUAGUCAUAGGACAAUGUAAAGCAUAACUUUAUUAUUAUUAGUAUAUUAUAGGAUGCAAAAUAAGAUCUCUCUUAACCUUUAACCACCUAAUUUAUGGGUAGUGUUGAAUGUUAUUCUAAUCCAUUAGUGGGGUAAUCGGGCAAAAUUGCUUUGAACGUGUUUUCUUAUCAACAAAUUUCUUUUCAUGUGCUUAGGACCACUGGAUCAGAUACACCAUGACUGUUGAUCAUGUAGACCACACAAGUAAGUCUCACAUGAUUAAUGGCUACAAUUGCAUUGAGUUGAUGUAUGAAUCCAGGUAAGUGAUUCUUUAUUUACUGCAAUUUACUUUCAAUGGUCAUAGUUCGUUUUGGUUGGAAAAUUGUCUCUAUUUAAAGGUUCUGAGACAAUAAACUUUGGAGUCAUGUCCCUUUAUAUGCAUUAUUUCAAUAUUUAGCGACCAAAUAUGGUUAAGAGUGACUGUAAGAUGGAAUACUCUCCCUUUUCCUAAAAAUAUUUUUCUUGAUAUUAUGAAUCGGUUGCAUACUAAUAUGAUGCAAAGUGAUCACAGUGUCCGUGUGAUGCAAAUUCUAGUCAACCUUGUGUAUGAGUUUUGAAAACCUCAUGCCACCUUGUUAUGGAAAAUAUUGGAUUUAUACGUGUCAGUUACACAUAUAAUGAUAAAAGUAUUAUUAAAAAUAAUUAAUAUUUUUUUUGGUUACUUAAUAAGUGUCAUAAGGUGACACCUUCUUAAUAUUUAUUGUUUGGUUACUUAAUAAUUAAAAUUUAUUUUUUUUAGUUACAUAUAAUGACGUUGCAAUCUAGUCUCUAACUAUCAGUGCUACUGUGUGUAGCCAUUAAGAUCAUUCAUAGGAGAAGACCCUUCUUUUAAUUUUGAUUGAAAUCAUCUUAUAUUAAAAAAGGGUAAUUAACUUGCUAUCACAAGCUGAAAAUCUUGACAUGUAGUCCAAAACAAAUUAUUAGCUUCUCUUUUUGACAAUACAAAGUAUUUAAACUUUUUGACGUAAAUAAAUGUCGGUAUUGCAAGCAACUCGCCUGUUUGCAUGGAUUUAAUAAAGUUCUAAAUGUGAGUUGUUGUGAUGGAAUCUACCACAUUUAAAUUUGACAUUUAAUCACUUAGUCAAUAAUUCGAGGUUUUAAAGCAAAAUGAUUUGACUAAGGUGAAAGUUAUUACUAAAUUAUUUUGAUCAGAGUCUAGAACAGCCAUUUUUUUUUAUAUCAUAUGGAAAGUUCAUUUCACCCUAAAGUAAAAUGCGUUACCCAACAAAAAUUAAACAUAGGGAAGUACCUUGUAUUAACUCGUGAUGAGACCUUUUCACUUUUAUGCUAGCUUCAGACUCGGUUGGCCCGACCUUAUCCCAAGAAAAAGAUUAAGUAACAUGUCAGCUUCACGUGAAACUGACAUCAUCUAAUAAUUGAGAUUCACUAAGAUCUUGUGCAUUCCGUUCAUGCAAGUGUGGCUUGGAUCCGCACUAAAACCACUGGGCGUGAUGCCUGGUGACUACCUUGGACACUUGGUGAUGGUGACACGAGACUGAGACUGGCAACGCUCUAUUGAUGCAUCAAGGCUUCAAAUCGUCUCAAAGUCUUUCGAAGAACAUGACAGCAUGCCGGAGAAAAAAGAUGUCGUGGGGUUCACCCCCAUCCAUCCGGAGGAUGACCUUUCUCAGUGACGAAAGCGACAUUACGCGAAAUGAGGAUGUCAGGUGGGGGAGACAAUUGAAAGAUGCUUUCGCUCGGUUUGGUCGGACAACGACCAUUCUUUAUAGCCAUGGAGGACCGGAGGAGCGCCGGGUUCCACGAAGUGUGUUUUCUCAGUCCUCUAAAACCUAAAACCCACUGCAUUUUGUUGAUGAUCUCUCCGUCUCAGACCAAGAUGAUGAGGUAUAACAACAGUGGAACCCAGAAAUAGAUAAGUGAUGUUGUUCGUGAUGCCGUGGAUGCCUCUUCCUAUUUUAGUACCUUCGUUUUAAUGAGCUCUUAUCAUAUAAGAUCGUUGUUAAUUUAAUUAUAAUACUUCAAUACAUUUUAAGUCUUUCGAAUCUUGAAAACAGAAAAUGUCGAAUUCAUACACUAUAGAUAUAUGUCUAUAAGAGAGAAAAAAAAUUAAGAAUUAUCUUUACAGAGAAUUACUAUUGAUUUUACUCCGAGAACCAUUAUUUUCUAAGAUUAGUCACUUUUUACAUUUUGGAUUUCGGAGAUAAUGACAUUCUGGUAUUUAGAAAAAGUAGUCCUCGAAUAUAUAUGUUAAAAAAAUAUCGUAUUCUCCGUGGAUUCUAGACCCAUAACCAUAUUUAUGGUCACUUGAAGAUGUAUUAAAAUCAUCAAAAACAAAAAAUCUUGUAGUAAUCUUGAGAGUUUUCUCAUAAUAUAUGGCAAUAUUUGGUAAUAUGAGAUUACCAUCCAAAAGUACAUUCGUAGUUCCAAACCAAUGUAAAAAGCAAUUGACUUCGAAUUGUGCGCUGAGCAUGCUGAUGAAGACUAAAUAAUGAAGGGCAAAUACGAAAAGCAGGCAGUUUGCUGAAAAAUUGUCCAAAGUUCUAAACCUAUUAUUAUGUGGUGGCCAAUUUAAUUUUAAACCUUUUACUUGUGUCAAUUUAGUCCAAAAACUUUUGAUAAUUUAUCAAUUUGGUCUUAAACAUUUUAACAAUUUACUUAUUUAGUCAUUCCAGCCAAUUUUGAUCGGAAAUUAAUAAUGUGGACAUUUUUUGCUAUUUUUCUUAGUUUUUUGAAUUUUCUUUUCUUUUUUUCUUUGUUGAUCUCAGGUGAGGGCGUCCUUCACUAGCCCAAGCGUGGGCAUCCCUCAUCCGACCUUGCUUGAGUCUAGCAAAGGGAAAAAAAGUUCAUAAAAUUUUAAAAAAAAUUAUAAAAAUUGUUUACGUUAGCGCCGGUUAGCGUCAAUCAUGCUAAGUAGCAUAACUGGCGCUGAUUUGAUUGCCACAUCAUGUGGCAUUAAGAUCACUUGUUGCCAUGGCACCAAUAACUUGAUAUCCACAUCUUUGACGUAGACAUCGUCAUUAGCUGAUAUUUGAGGUCCGUUGAUAUUGUUCAUGGAAAACCCGUAUUGGGACGUGUUGUAUUCAUUUAUCCACUAGAUCACACUAUGGACAUUACUUAAUCCUUUGUUAUGAACAUCUACACGUACCAUAACAAAUAUUAUACUAAGGUACAUUUUCACUCCAAAUAUGGUGGGACCUGGGAGUAUUACACCUUUACAUGUGGCUGCUUGUACAUCGGGCUCAGUUGAGAUAGUUAAUGCCCAGACAAAUGAUCCACAACGGUAUUAAAAUUGGACUCGAUCAUAUUUUUGUGGCAUGCAAAAACGUAUUAUAACGUAACCAUGUAGGGCAACGCCAAUCUAUAAAGUACCUUUCCCUUUUUGAGAUAGCAUGCUGUAUCUUAUUUGGGAAAAUUAUCCAAAAAGUCCUAAACUUAUUGCAUUUUUACUGAUUCAAUUAUAAACCUUUCAACUUUGCCAAUUGAGUCCUACACCUUUUUACAUUUUGCCAAUUGAGUCAAUCCAGCUAAUUUGGUAGGAAUUUACUGACAUAAAUGUUGGUGCUGACAUGGACAAUUUUUUUUUUAAAUUUUAAAUAUUUUUUUGAAAUUUUAAAUUAUUAUUAUUAUUUUUAUGUUUUUAAUUUCUUUCCCUUUUUUUUUUCCUUUGGUUGGUUGCCUAGCCUCUAGUGACUGACCAUAGGCCACGAACAACGAGCAUUGGCCUUGCCGGCCUCAGGUAAGUUCACCCUCGUUGGGAUCUAACUAGGGGCGAGGCUCACCCUCACCAAGUCCGGUGAGGUGGCCUUUGCCGGGAUCUGGCGAGGGGCAGGUGAGGGAUGACCUAGCUAGCUGUGAGUGAGGCUCGCCCUUGCCAGAUCAGGCAACGGCAAGCUUGCCCAAGGCCGACAAGGUCGCCUCUUGCCAGAUCUUAGCAAGGGCAACCUUGCUUGAGGCCCAUGAGGUCGACCCUUGCUCGCCUCGCCUGGGGACAGCGAGGUCGCCCCUCGCUAGAUAGCGGUGAGGGCGACUUGCUCGAGGCCGGGGAGGCCGAUCCUCGCCAGUUGUGGCCUCUGGCCGGUCGCCUAGUCUUCGGCAACUGGCCAAAGGAAGAAAAGAAAAGAAAAAAAAGGAAAAGAAAAAAGAAAAGAAAAUACAAAAAAUAAUUAAAAAAUCAAAAAAUAUUUAAAAUAAUAAAUCUCGUCCACGUCAGCACCGGCAGUGCCACGUAGGAUAAAUUUUGGCCAAAAUUGGCCGGAUGGACUCAAUUGGCAAAAUAUUGAAAGGUUUAUAACUCAAUUGGUAAAGUUGAAAGGUUUAACUCAAUUGGCAAAAGUGCAAUAGGUUUAGGACUUUUUGAACAAUUUCCCCUAUCUUAUUCAUAUGAGAUGCUGAAUACUUCAGUAUUAGCUGCUUAUUGGAGCUGUUUUAUUAUUUGCAGUGUGGUUUAUGAAGUAGACAAAUGUUAUGUACAGGCGCACGCCAUGAGCGUGCGAUCAUGUGAUUGCUAGAUCUUUAUGUUGGUCCUAACACUUAUCAUCAUCAUCAUCAUCAUUAUUAUUAAUCUCUUUCUAGAUUGGAUUAAACGGCUGGAACUCCCUUCUGGAUUCCAGUGGACAGUCGCCGUAUUCCUAUAUUGUGAUGAGGAAUAAUCACUCCUACAAUGAGCCUGUGUCGUGUAAACUUGCUGACAGGAGGAACAGUCAAAUUUCUGUGAUAAUUGGAAGUGAAAAUGAAGGAAUCGCAGCCGUCAGCUGCACAAGAGUCUGGCCAGCGUGCCCACUCUCAGUUGAGUGCGGGCUCGUGCUCGAGAUGUGCGGUCGCGGCAACAAAAUAUGGUAGGAGAUUCCCGGCCUCGCAUGGGCUGCUUCAUCGGCCCUAUAUCCAUUCGAUGCUUGUUGUCGCCGCUGUCUAUGUCUGUGUUUGCCUCUUCUAGAGAAACUUACAGAAGGUUGGUUGUAAUGCUCCCUUCAAUUGGGAACAUUUGGAUUAUGGUGCUAUUUAGGGAGUACAUCUACCAACAAAUAAGAGGAAGCAACAGGAAGCCAAUGUCAAUACGAAGGCAGACUAGAGUGCAUUUUUAUUUGGAGAGGAAGUGCUUCGAGAUGACUAUGCAAGUGCAAGGUUUUAAAUACCCAUCAAGAAAUUAAGCUUUGGCAUAUCUGAAUUUGCAUACCCCUCUUUUUAAUAAGCUGCAAUGUGAGAAGUACCGAUUAUUCUCUGACCCAGUGGUUCUGGAGAAUACUUGUGUUGGGUAAAUUUGAUUGCUAAUGAAUAUAGAGAAGUAGUAAUAGAUUCUUGAUGUUUUGAUGCGUGAUGAUGAUCAUUGUCCUUAAGGUAUUAUUUAUCCCCAUUAUUGUUACUAUCGAGUUUAGAACAAAUAUACCUCAAGAAUAUAUACCAAAGCUGUAGAGUGAGUUAAGCAAUUACUCAAUUUCUUUCUUGGAAUUUCACUUUGAAUAUGUUGUUAAAGUUGUGUGUAUGAAAAGAGAAGAAAAAAGAGUUCUGAAAAAAUAGUAUUUAUGAAUGUUUGUAGUUGUUACAAAUAAUAUGUGAAUUGGUCUCUAUUCACAUACAACCAAACAACAUAAUUGUUGGAAAUAAGUAUCUUUUUCUCAACUAUCAUCACUCUUCUUUCAUAAUUAUGGAUAACCUCCUUUUAGGACCAAAAAGUCACCUCUUGUCAUAACUAAGAGUGAUGUAUUCUUUUGAUCAAAAGUCACGUCUUCUCUUAAUCAAGAGUCACCUUUUUUAUUAUAACAAACUAUUUCAACAACUUGGACAUAGGAAGUAAUUAAAAUCUUUGUAUAUUGCAGCAUGAGAGUAAUUCAGAAUGAGAUGAGAGGAAAGAUAUCGGUGAAUUACGACUAAAUAUAUGUGGCAAGCAGGAGAAGAUGCACUUUGCAAUGGGAAGAAACUAAUGCCGAAAUCGAGGGAGGAUGUCUGCAAAACGGGGAUGAGCUCGAAAAUUCUUUAUCAUAGAGGAAGUACUAAUGUGGUAAGUCAUAUGUUUGUUGUUACUAUUAUGUUCCUUUUGGGUUUUUGGUUUCUGAUUUUUGACUCAUUGGAGCUAAACGGGCGAUACCAACUUUGGACCAGUAACUGAGUUUGUUUUAAUUGUAAAGUUGAUCGCGACUCCUUAGGGCUGUUGAGAUUAUUGUAUUAUUUUAUUAGUUGCAAAUAUUUGUUCGGGUAUUGUUGUGAUUUACCCCUCGGUAUGGUGGGAAACAUAGAUUUAGGGGUAUUGUCUAAAAAACGAGCCUAACGGCUCAUAAUUUAAACAUAGACUUUCCUAAGCCUAUACCUCGCGCGAUGUUAGGCUUUCAAAUUAACGCUAUGAUUUUUUUUUUUUUUAAAAGAGUCGCCAUUAGCCUAUUAAGGUCGGCUAUAAACCAAGUGAAGUAUGAGAGCGCAUUUAGUAUCGGAGACUUGAUUAUACUAAUUAACUAAUUAGUGCUCUUUCGGUAUUUGAUCUUAUUCAUUUUAAAAAGAUUUUUUUUUGUCAAGUAGUUCGAAUUGAUUUUAAACCUAUCCACUAAUACGUGAGAAGACCAUGUAGAUGUGCAAUCAUUAACAUAAUAAUCAGCAAUCAAGAAAAUUAUUAAGUAAACUGCAUGGGAUAACAAAUACCUAACACUAAGAAAAAGAUAAAUGUUACUCCUAACUAGACUAAAUGGAAGCCAAAAUCAGUGUAAGCACACAAUAAGGACAAUUGUCUUUAAGGACAAUUGAAGCCCUAAGGUAGAGCUCUAAGGGUUCGUUCAAUUUUUUAGUGCAAUUUUAAGUCAAGAGGCUUCUGUUUUUUUUUUUUAAAGGAAAAUUACUUGAAAAGACUAUUUUAAAACUUUUUCAAGGGACCCGAUUGCAUAUAUCAACAAAUGCAAGAAAGAAUUGAAAAAAAAAAAAAAGUGUACAGAGGUUUUACACAUAAAGGGUAAUGCGCCCUUAAUCCUUGUCGUGGCGAAAGGGAUGGUCACAAUAUAUGAAAAUGAAUACAUGAUGGUGAUUUUGAGGCUGCUUAGCAAACUUUGCUCUUUCUUGUAUCCAAGAAAAAACAAGUACACAUAGCAAUGAGAAAUUCGGGAAAAUUACCAAGACUAUUCUAAAUUUAUUGUGUUUGUGUCAAUUCAGUUCUAAACAUUUCAAUAAUAUUAACUUAGUUCUAUAUCUUUUGAUAAUUUGUCAAUGUAGUCCUUCCAAUCAUAUCGAAAAACGUUGACAUGGUGGCCCAAUUAACAUCAACUGUGCUACGUGACAUUACCAGUGCUGAUGUGAACAAUUUUUUAAAUUUUUUUGAAAUUUUUCGUUUUUUAUUCUUAAUUUUUCUAUUUUUUCUUUCCUUUUCGUUGAUGGCUAGAGACUAGCCAUAGGCAAAGGUCGGAGAGGGUUUGGUGAGGGCUGCUUGCACUGGCCACCGAUGAGGGUCGCCUCCCCCGCGGUUAGCAAGGGCUUGCAUGACUUUGCCCAGUGAUUUGUGAGGGUCGUCGGCCUUCACUAGCCCUAGCUGGCUGCAAUAAAGAAAAAGAAAAUAAAAUAAAAAAUAACAAAAUUCAAUUUUUUUUGUUGAAAAAAUUGCAAAUAUUGUCCAUAUUAGCAUUGGCGGUGCCAUGUCAGACAAUUGGCAUCUAGUUAGCGAUUUUUGACUAUAAUUGGCCAUAUGGAUUAUACUGGCAAAUUAAUUUGCCUAAAUUUAAAAGAUUUAGGAUUGAAUAGACACAAGUGUGAUAGUUUUAGGAUAUUUUUGGUAAUUUUCCCUAAGAAAUUCUAAAUCCAUAAAGACCUAUUAAUUUUUUUUUACUAUGUGAUAUGACAAGUUUCAACUGAAGGCUGAGAUCUAUUCUUUGAAUGGCUAGCUUGUUAGGUACCAAAAAGAAAUUAUUAUAUUAUUUAUUAUAAAAAUUUUAGAGCGCUACGAGCUUAACAGUGGCUGUUAUGUCUUAAAAUGAUGGUCACAUAUCGGCCACAGAUUCCACUAUGGGAGAAUGGCCAGGCGACUUGUAAGGUUAACCAAACUCAAGGUGACACUAAUAUGGCCCUAGUAUCAUGAUGAGAUUUAAACGGUUAUUAUGUUUAAGAUGGCCUUACAAUUCUAAACUCGUACAAAAGGAAAAUCGCAAAGAAAAAUUUGUAUAGUUCAUGUUUGUGGCCAUAUCAGGGGUAUAAGAUCACAAGUAAAUCAAAUAUAUACAAGACCAAAAAAUUAAAUAGAGCGUUUGAUCAUAUUCAUUGAGAGUUUUCGUUGUUUUCAUUGUGGCCAUCUGUUUCAAAAGAAAUAAUUAUAAAUACAGAACUCAAUGGGAUUUUCCAUCAAGAAAUAUCCCAUUAAGCGAGAUUAUCAAUUUCUUGAGGAGACCGAACAAACGGGUCUCCCGAUUUCCUUGAAAAAUUAUGUGAUGGAGACAACAACGGUGCUUUCAUAUUCUCAAUCAAGAGACGCAAGUGUCAAAGGUUGAUUCAUCUAGCAUUCAACGUGUUGCUUCAUCGGGCUGUGACACAAGCAUGACAACCUCCAUUAUUUUCAUGAAAUGAUGGAGACCUCCCAUUGCACAUUUCAAUUCAUGAAUUUGGUUUCGACCAAUACAUAUCAUGAAUUUGGCAAUGAGACGGAUAAUUACCAAGUCGAUCAUAAAUUUAUUAUACGAAUGUCAAUUCAGUUAUUAAUUUUUCAAUUUUGCCGAUGACGCUUUAAACAUUUGUGCGCAAAAUUUUAAUGUAGUUCUUUCGACUAAUUGCUGACGUGGCAUCCAAUCAUCAUCGGCCAUUCAACAUGGCACUCUGAUAUAGACAACUUUACAUGAGAUGACAUUCUAAGUUUUAAGUUGUUUGAAAACAAUAAUGUAUGAUGCCACAUCAUUCUGUUAUCUAAUUUGUGAUAAAUAAAUUAUUGACAUGAUUUUCAAUGGAUUAAAAACAGUACGUUUAACAUGGUCUCAGUGCACAAUGACUUGAACUCCGACACUCCCUCUCAAAAUUUCUCUUGCCUGUUAUUCCUAUGAUUCUCAUAUUCUGUCCAUCUUUCUACUCAUUCAUUAUCUAGUAGGAUUAUAAUCACGGGUCAACUACAUAUAAAAUUACUUGUAUAGACAGAAUUUUGUAGUCGGUGGUAUUCUAAUUAGAUUUUUAUCGUGAGUACACAGUUGGGAAGAAGAUGCCUUAGACACUGCCCAUAUGAACACAUGAAAUCUUGUCAAUGAGUUCUUAAGAGUCGUGGUGAAGUAUUCUAUAUGGAAAAGUUUUGAUGGUGAAGUAUUCUAUAUAUGGAAAAGGUUUUGAUUUAUAAAUAUUAAAUACAACUAUUACAAAAAAAAAUUAGUGUUAAAAGUUGUUGGUAUAUUUGUCGGAUUGCUUAAUACGUGUUGCACGGACUACGCCUCUAAAUCAAACAUUCAAUCAUUCAAUCAAUAAUUCAAGGUUUUGAAGCAAAAUGAUCGACUAGGACAAAACUAAUCAACAAAUUUUCCGAUCAUGGAAUCCACUUUCGGCCAGUCAUUUUUUAUAUUAUCCUUGCCCCCCUCCGAUCGAGACCAAUCCAAAGCAACGUGUUUCACGACAAAAGUGAAACAUAGGGAACUACCUUUCAUUAGCCUGUGAGGACCCAGUUGGCCCAACCCUGCACCCGAACUUAGAUAAUAUGCUCCGUAUGUAGAUGAGCCUAGUAGAUAUCCAACGUUGAUUUAUGUGGGCUUGACAUAAGAUCGGCAUCAACGGCUGAAAUUCAUCGGGUUUUUGUGCUCCGGUUCAUGCAAGUGAGGCCAGGUUCCGCACUACAACCUCUGGGCCAGGCGGCUGCAUGAUAUCACGGGAAGACUUGGUGACAGUGCACCAAGACUUACAAGUCUUGAAGUCUUUCGAAGAACACGACAAAAUAUGAGACUAAAAGUAAAGAAAAGAGAGGCAGUGGAGAAAUUUUAUAUAUUUCUAUGUACAUUGAAGAAGAAUACGUAAGCUUAUUUAUAGAUUUUAUUGGAUGAUUAUGUGACAUCCUGAGUACAUCACAUGCUACACGCGUCCUUUCCAUUUAUACUCAUAAUCAUAAUUACGCAUGUGGAAAUACCACAAAAUACAUCACAACAUACCAUAUGAGAAAGUCGCACUAGUUUAAUAUGUAUGCUUCUUCUUCUUCAUACAAAUACUAGUACUUAUUAUCACAACAUAUAGUCUCGAGACUUGUAGGUUAUGGGCACAUUGGUACUACUACUCCUAUACUAAUCCACAAGCAAGCCACCACCCAACUUGGGGGCUAAUGGUCUCAGGCAUCAUCUCAUCCCUUUCUUCGUCAUAUCCCAAAGGGAACAUCCUACACACUGAAAAAUAAAUGAUGAAUUGAAGCUCGAUAAAUGAAAUCCCUACGUAUAAGGUAGGAGAUCAUCUUAGCACUUAACCUAGUACCAAUCAAAUAACAUGAGUUCAAGACAAUAAUUAUGUGUGGACAAGUUCUUCUUCUUUACUGACACGAUAUGCCAAUAAAACCAUUAACCAUAUUGCAAGUUCAUCCACUCAUAAGCAAGCAUAAAAUAUGACCUAACAUUUCAUGAUGUACUAGUACUACAUAUUGGUUUAGUACCAUCAUUUAUAAGAGUAUACUUAGGCAAGUCCAUACUUGUAAUGCAUUUCACCAUGCACAUAAGUGAAUUCAUACAUGUUGUGCAUUUCUCCACCACUAUGCAUAUCUUCCAUACUUGUCACAACUCUCACCACCAUUCAUAAGUGAGUUUGAAUUCAUACAUAUAUGAGUUCGUAUGGGUCAUGAAGCUCACUAACACUAACACAGGUGACUUCAUACUUGUCAUUAGUCAAGACCCAUCUCGACUCAUGGGACAUCCCUUUACACGGGGUAUACACCAACUCUUGGGGGGACGGAAUCAUAAUUACCUCUUUGCUAUGCCACACAGCUCAAUUAUCACGAGCAUCUUCUACAUCGGUGAAGAUAAAUAUGCCACUAUAUCAUCGCAUGAUGAUGGUCAACACAAGUUUACUCAAGCCAACUCAGGCUACACAAGCCAACUCAUAUUGUAAAUUAUAGGACUUUCAAGUCCCCUCAACCUUGUAAAGAAUCGCCUUAUAUGAUAGAACAUCUAGCUAACUUAGAGUCUUUCACACAUACUCAUACAAGGGUAUCGAUUGUGGCAAAGGUUUUCCUUACAUGGCAUCAUGGGCAUACACAUUCUUAUAACAUAUCAAUUGUCAUGCUAUUAUAUGUCAUUUCUUAUGCAAUUAAUGAUGACCAAUCAAUUACAUGCACUUUAGCAAUCGGCAUCCAUUUCAUAACACAUUUUCAUGCAUAUCGUUACUUCACUCUUUCAAUAAUUCCUCGAUCAACCAUUCCCCCACCGUUGUCGGCCCUUCCCGAAGAUAGUGGGGAGGCAAUGGAAAGAGCUUACACAACCCUCAUUGAACGCGUUCUGCAAUUUUUUUAAUUUAAUUAAAAUUUAUAUUAAAAUUCAAAUAAGAGGUAAAAUGAUGUUGUUUUAGCUCCUUUGUUGACUCAGCUUUCUGGCAAACCACGUAGGCAACUUAUAUUAUUAAAAAUAAGCUAUGUUGGAUUUCUAGCACUUUUUAUAAGAGUUAGCACUUAAAUGUUUCAUUUUUCAAAGAAAGUGGCACUCAAGUGUGUCUUUUGGAAUUUUUGGCAUUUAAAUAUCUCCCAGUGCUAAGUUUUGGCUCUUGCGCUGUACUUCUAUCCACAAAAAUUAAAUAUAGAAAAGUGCCCUGGAUUGGGGAGACACCAUUACCUCUUGAUGUUGGCUUCGGACCUAGCUGACCUCGCCAUGGACUCAAGAAAAAAUAAUAAUAACACUCUUUGUACAUGAAUGAGGUUAGUCGAUCAUGGACGGACGUUGAUUUAUGUUAUUCUCAUAUAAGACUGACAUCAUCUAACAAUCAAAAUUCAUUGAGAUCUUGUGACCUAGUUCAUGCAAGUGCGGCUUGGAUCCACACUAAAACCACUGGGCUCAAUGCCUAGUGACGGGGACGCAAGAAUCCCUCUCGGUACAUGGAGAGUCACACGAAUCGUUUCGAAGUCUUUCGAAGAACAAGACAAAUGCCAGAGAAAGAGUAUCCAGAAAAUGAUGUCGGGUUUCAGCAUGAUCCACGCGGAGGAUGACGUUUCUCAAUGACGAUAUGUCUGCUACACGAGAUGGUCAUCUCUCGACCAUCCUCUAUCGCCAUGGACGACCAGGAGAGCAGUACAGGGGCUCCACAGAGUGUGUUUCUCGGUCUUCUUAAACUUGACCGAGAAGAUAAUGAUGAACUAUAACAACAGCGGCGCCCAAAAGUAGAUAAUGAUGUUUUUUUUUUUUUUUUGCAUUUGCGCAGAUUUGUAUUCCUAUUUUAGUAUAUUUAUUUCAAUGAAGUCGUGUCACAUGACAUCGCCGUUUAAUUUAAUUAUACUACUUUCAUAUGUUGUAAGCCGCUUGAAUCUCGAAAAACUGAAAAUGUUGAAUUUAUAUAGUACAGAUGUACGUCUAUACUAGAAGAAAGUAUCAACCAUUAUUUCUGUGGAGAAUGACAUUUUCGUUUAGGGAACUAUUAAUUUCUGAUAGAUGUCACUUUUUAUUUCUUGAAUUAUAGAGAUGAUGACAUUCUGGUGUUUAAAAAAGGCAAUCGGCCUAUUUGUAUAUUACCAAAUAUCGCAUACUUUCCGUGUGGUCUAGACAUGUACUCAUGACCAUUUUUAUGAUCAUAUAAAGAUAUAUUAAAAUCAUCAAAAUAAUAAUAACGUUGCAAUAACAUUGCAAUAACGUCAAGAAUUUUCUAAUAGUGUACCGCAAUAUUUGGUUAAAUAAGAUUAGCAUCCAAAAGUACAUUUGCAAUUGUAAUUCCAAACAAAUAUAAAAACAGUUGACUUGGAAUUGUGCAUUGGAUAGCUGAUUUUGACUAUAAAUCAAAGGCAAAUAUAAGAAGUAGCUGACUUGUUGUGAGAGUAAUAAUUAGUAGCACAAAUGAUGAUAAUAAUUUUCAUCAUGAAACAUGCUCGAUUUACAUAGAAAUCAGCCAUUGAUUGACAUGUAUUUUCAUGUGCCAACAGAUGAAUAUAGUUGCCAGAGUCCCUAAUAUGUGUUUUAUCCUCAUCAUAACUUUUUUUUACGAUGUUCCGUCAAACUCGUAAUGUUUUUAUUUUUGACCGGGUCCUUUAAGUAUAUGUAUUUUUGUUACUUGUAUUUGGCCAUAUAUUUGAGAAAUUGACAAAAGUGCGCAUAACAUGGCAUCGAUUUGCAGUUGAUUGCCAUUCUAGCAUCACAUGUGAUGCUAGAUAUGUCGUCAAAAACCUUAAACAAUGUGGAGUAACAAAUAUUUUUUUAAAAAUUCAGAAAACGGGAGAGUCGAUCAAUCGUGACGAGGGUCUUGCAUCUCUCGUCAGGCUUCAGCAAAUGCAACGUGGCCUAGUGUUUCCAAAAAAAUUGUGGAGUUUAUGGAAUCUAUAAUGGUAGCUGUGUGGCAUACUUUGUAAUAGUAGUCAAGGAAAAUUAAAAAAAGUUAGACUCAUUGAUUUUGCUUCAUCAUUUACCAGCCAUACUUGAUUCCAACCAAAUAACAUUAGAAAAAUCAAAGUAGAUUUCUAUCACUAUUGCUCUUGAUUUUAACCAUCUAAAGCAGAGCAAUAGCUCCUUUGGCUUGAACCAAAGAUAUAUUCGGGGCCAUUCCUUGGCCAACCAGCAGAUGCAAUUGACAAAAGCAGCGUUGGAUCCCAAAGUGUGGGCCCCAGACAUCAUCCAUUAUCCGCUCUCAUUACUAAUGAUUCCUUGACAAGACCGUUCGCGCUGUCUUGAUGUUGGCCUUGACUUGGAAGCCACAGCAACGACUUACAUGGCCAACUCAUAGCUCUAUGAUUUGGGCUUCAAUAAUUGCUCAAUCCGAUCGGGGAGGUUUGCUUUUAUUAGGAGCCUGAUUGCGAUUGGUUGAAGGAAUAGCCAAACUGAGUUUAAAAUGAUUAAAAUCGUGAACAGAGAUUUUUUUUUUUAAAUUCUCUACUGAUGAAAUAAAUUAGUUUCAAUGGAUUGAUCAUCUAUACAAACUUGACAUCAUAUUUAGAUCUUUGUAUACAAACGAUUAUUUUGAUAUAGAGUAGAUAGAAUUAAAGACAAAUUAGAUCACUAAUCCCAAACCUAACAACUAUACCCCCAACUUUUGUGGGAAAUCUAAAGUAACAAUUAUAUGAACAAGAGACUCUCUAUACAAGCUGUCUCUAUGUCUCUUAAAAUAUUCAUCACUUUCGAAUGAAAUAUCAUGUUUUGUUAUGACGUGUCUCUCGAAGGUGGACAAUAGCAUGUUAUUUUACUGAAGCAGCUUUUAUGAAAUUCCACCAACGUGUUCUGACCUUAGCAUACACAUUUUGCAUGAUGGACCUAUGUUUUUGUUUUUUUCUUGAAUCACUUUGUGAUCUUAAUUUGCAAAUUCAACCUUUCUAUUCAAUGCGAUCUCUCACAAACUUACGUUAUAUUCAAAUAAUGAGUCAUGUGGAUUGUGAAAUUCUAAAUAAAUACAAGAAAUUGACAUUUGUAUUGGUUCAUAUUCCUAAGAUCUAAGGGACAAAUUUUAAAUGAAUGCCCAAAAUUAUGCUUCUAUGCCUUUGAUGAGUAUAAUAAAGCAUUUGGACUGUUCGACUUGAACAAAUGUCACGAACAUAUGCAGUUCACCUGUUCAAAUGUAUUUAGUAAAAUUUUCCACAGUGUGGUUAGCGAUACUUAUUUUGAAGGUAAGACGUUGUGAUGAGAUUUACCACAUAUAAAUUAAACGUUUAAUCAUUCAGCCAAUAAUUCAAAAUUGCAAAACAAAAUGAUUUGAUUGAAAGUUAUCGCCAUAUGGUUUUGAUCAUGGAGGCUUUUUGAACCGCCUUUUCUUAUAUUAGAUGCGAAGUCCAUCACGCCCCCUCUCUUUUGAUCAAAGUAAUGUAACGCCGGUCACACAACAAAAAUUAAAUAUAGAAAAAUAUCUGGGAUUAAUCUAGGGGGAGACUUUUAUCUUUUUAUGCUUGCUGCAGACAGAGUUGGCCCACCCCCGGACCGAAGAAAAAAAAAGGUAAGACAGGCUUCGCAUGUGAGCGAGCUUAGUCGAUCAGCAUCGUUGAUUUAUUUGGGCUCCAUAUGACUUACCUUAUCCGACAAUUGAAAUUCAUCGAGAUCUUGUGCACCUGAUUCAUGCAAGUGCGGCUCGGAUCAGCACUAAAACCACCGGGCCCAACGCCUGGCGACCAACAGGGGAGACUUGGUGACAGUGACACGGCCCACACUGCUGUCUCGACGCAUGAAGACUUCAAGUCGUCUCGAAGUCUUUCGGAGAACAGGACAACAUGCCAGAGAAAAAGCAUACAGAAGAGACGAGACGUUGUGGGGUUCUCUCUGUCAUCCAUCCGGAGGAUGACGAAAUGAAACUAACGCGAAUUGAGGACGUCACACGGGAGAUUCCACAGCGAGGAAACGUGUAUCACGCGAGCCGGUCGUCGCUCGGUUCAUUAUCUAUGGCCAUGGACGAGAAAUAGGAGUACAGCAGGGGUCCACCGAAAGCGUUUCUCAUUCUUGUUGCAUGUGAAUUCGAAAAAGCAAGGAAACGCCACAUUAAAAGGAGAAAAUGACAACGCCGCACGUGCUUCGAGCUGAUUUGACCUCUCCACCUAGUUUCUUCUAUAUUAGGUCAUCAAGUUCACUGUCCAUGAUAAUAGACCAACCGAUUGGCCCAUACCGUUGCUUGAUGAGCUGUAUACAGUCUUUUUUUUCUUUCGAAAUGGAAUGUUGACAACAUAGCAUAGACUUAAAAAGGUUACUUUCUUCUCAGAUUAGAAUCACUUAAACGUAAUAGCAAUGACACCAUUAUUAUAUGCACUCGAUAUAUUAAGACCUAGUGAAUACGAUUUGUUAGAUUAUAUAAAUUUCAUGUGAGAUUCAUACACUUGACCUGCCACUUUGUGUGGAAGCAAUAACAUCGCAUCGAGUAAAUAUGAACUUUAAAAGGAUCUUGGUAGGGAAAAAAACAUAAUCCCACCCUUCAUCAAAAUGUAUAUGAUAUGGCAACAAUAAAAAGAAAAGUAGUGGGGAGGGGGAAGGUGUAGAGGGGUAAUGGUGGGCACUAAAACAGAUUUCAGGAACGUCGUUAUCAACAAAUUCCAAGGACGGGCCAAUCAAAUCUCUUCACAGCCAAGCGAGAAAGCAGUACAUCCAUACAAAACAGUAAUUGCGAUUUUUCUGCAUCUCUGUGCUCCUUUUUAUUCAAAAGAGACUUGUUUACAUUAUUGAGUUGACGAGGACUGUCCAAAAUCUUGCCCUCUGGAGUUAAAACAAAAUCUUGCGCCAUUUUGCGUGCCAAAUCCUUGUAUCCCCUAUGGUCCACCACUAAAUAUUCUUGUUUUCCAUGAUGAUCUAUGGGAUUUGAUUGAUGAUCUCUUGGUCUCAUAAUAGGAUGAUCUAGUACCACAACAACACUGGUACCAAAAGAAUAUAAUGAUGAUUUUUGCAACACUAGAUACGUCUCCCUAUUUUCAUUUCAACGAGCUCUUGUCACAUGACAUUUUUUGUUAAUUUAAUUAUGCUGCUUUUAUAGGUUUUAAGUUAUUAUGAUUUUUGAAUGUUGAAAAUGUUGAAUUAAUGAUUGUAUCCAUAGAACUAUUAGUUUCUAAAAGAAGUCACUUUUUACCUCUCGAAGUACAAAUAUAAUGACUUUCGGAUGCCUUACAACAAAGUAACCAUCUUCUAUGAAUAUUAGAAAAUAUCGGGUACUCUUCACAUAGACUUGACAUAUACUCAUAAUCAUAUUUAUUGUCACGUAAAGAUGUAUUAAAAUCAUAAAAAGAAAAACCUGCACUAAUUUUUAGAAUUUUUUUAUUAAUGAAUUGCAAUAUUUAUUUAAAAAAGAUUGGCAUCCCAGAAUACAUUUGUAAUUGUAGUUCCAAGCAAAUAUAAAAAGCAAUUGACUUCGAAUUUUGUGCUCAGUAUGGGCAAAUAAAAAAAAGAGGGUUAUAAUUGGGAACAAAUAUGAUAAUGGUAAUUAUCUUCAUAAAAUAUGCUCGACUUAGAUAGAAAUAUAAAAAGCAAUUGACUUCGAAUUUUGUGCUCGGUAUGGGUAAAUAAAAAAAGGUAGACAAUAUGCUGUAAGAGUUAUAAUUCGGAACAAAUAUGAUAAUGGUAAUUAUCUUCAUAAAAUAUGCUCGACUUACAUAGAAAUUGGCCACUAAUAGACAUUUUUUUUUUUCAUGCCAGCAAAUGGAUGUUGCUACCAAGUCUCCAAUAUGUGUUUUCUCCUUAGAUUAAUCUUUGGCAUGAUAGUAUAACUGUUGGAUUAGAACUUUUACACAACGUCUAAUCAAGCCUGUAAUUUUUUUUAUUGGGUCCUUCAAGUAUAUAUAUAUAUAUAUUUAAUAUUUGUAUUAGUUCAUCUAUCUAAAAAAUUACGAAAGUGCUGCCACUAUGGCACUAAGUUAUAGUUAAUUACUAUUGUAGCACCACAUGUGAUAUUAGAUGUGGUUAUCGAAAACUUUAAAUAAUAUGAAAAGUUAAAUAUUUUUUGAAUCCUAGGAAGGAGCAAAAUUAGACGAUGCGGUUUUGUUAGUUGAUCCAACCCCUAAUCCAAAUUACCAUCAAGGCUUGAACUCAACUGGCACAUUUUAGUGUCGAAUUGUCCUGAUAUGAAAUCGUGAUAUGCUCGGCACAUCCAACAAUCUGGUCACACGAGACCCAUCUGAUUUAAUGGACAGAAUGUACAGGAUGUACGUGCACUCGGUCCCCAAAAUAAAGUUCAUGAAAUUUCGGAAGACAGUCAUGGGUUAUGCUUCCACUGCAACCUGUGCAGACGUCUUCGUUUUUCGGUUAAGAUGUUAGACCAUCUUGUGUUCGUGGGUACCCUGGAGGGAUAAGGGCCGUCGGGUAGCUCGCUGGAUGCGUUCUUUCCAAAUAGUGUAAAGACUAAGUUAUCACGAUCAGUUGAACUGUAAUAGUUGCAAUGUAUAUAAGCAUUAUUCUAACUUACUUUUCAAUAUAACGUGAGGCAUUGUGGUGACUUGGUAUGUAAGGAAGCCUUACAAAUACAACAAAGAUGCAUUGCUCGAAGGGAAACCACAAGAAAUACUUUUGUUUUCAAUCUUCUGAUAAGAGAUUUUUUUUUUUGGUUACGACUGCAAAUCAAUUAAAGUAUAGUUUGAGGCUACUUCUUUGCACUGUUGUUUGAGAUAUUAUAUAGGACCCUGGUCAAUGACUAAAAUAUCAAUCUAGUAUGAGCCAUGAAUUUGUAAAGUCUCGGUAGAUAGUACGAAAAAGUACCAGUUAUUUCUAUCGCACUUUUAGAACCCAAAAAAAAUAAAAUAAAUUCUAUCAACCUUAAUAUAGGUUGUAUAUUCCUUGCUAGCUAUUGUUUUUCAUCGCAGUUUAUUAGUACCAAACUUACAAAACAAUUAAGUGCGUUCGUCCUAAAAAUAAAACGAGUUUGUUUUGAUAUAAAGUUAUUAUCAAGGAAAUUCCCUAGUACUUCUUUAUUGAUCUUGUGAUCCUCUCAUCUAGGUUUAAAUAAGAACAUUUUGUUCUUGUUGAAUUGACUAAUAUAGUGUUUUUCAUCCCUUUAUCAUAUUUAUAAGUAAUCAUAUCAAGGUUAGAAGAUGUGGUAUUUUCUAAGUUUUGAAUCAGUUUGUCUUUCCCGCUUUCGCUAUUAUUUAACACUAAACUGAUUAAAUGAACUUAAAAAUAAAGAGAAAGUAAAGCAAAUUGAGAUUUUAUUUUUGUUUUGCCAUCAUAUCAACUUAAGAUCAUAUUACAAAAAAGGAAGAAAAAUUGAAAAAAGAUAUUUUUCUAGCCUAUUAGAAUCCUUUUGGCCAACAAUUUUGUUAUCUUUUUGCGGAAAUGAAAAUUAUAUUAAGAUUAAUUGCAAUUUAAUUAGGGAAAAGUAAAGACUGAAAGUGAAUGGAGAUUCUUACUUGUCAUAAAAGUGAACUAGGUUUAUAAUAAGAAAAAAAGAAAAUAGAAAGUAGUAAGUAGAUUAUUAUUUUGACCUAUUAUUAUCAUAUGCAAGGAAAAAGAGACAACGAAGAAAAGAUAAAGGGAAAGAGAGAUUAUGAUAAUGUCAAAAUGACCAUAUGUCGGCCUUCUAUAAGUCUAGCUCAGUGCACUAUAAUAUUAGAUUGUGACUAUUAAACGUGCACAAAUGCUUCCAUAACUAUAAGUCCAAAACAAAUGGCAAACAUAACAUAUAUAUAGAAUACACAAUCAACCCGAGAAGUCCUUAUGGACAAUUAAUAGACAUGUCAUUAUAGUAACAAAGGAUCGGAUGUUGAUGUUGGAACUUGCUAAAUAGAAAAGAGAGCCCAUUGUCCCAUGUUAGCUCAUCCUUGAAGUAGUUGAAGUUGCAUGGGAGUAGAAGUUCAUGCACCACGCUCUCGGUCUCUUCAUUAUUUUCUUCAACUAUUGAGCUGUCAAGCUUGUGGUUGAUCUUGGCGAGUUGCUCAGCCACUUCCCUCAUUGUCAGCCUCCUCGCUCCACUUGAGUCCAAGCACUUUACUGUAAUCUCAACAACCAUUCCUGCCUCUCCAUUUCAUCUUCAGUAGCAGGCUCGAAGCUAAGGACAUCAGAGAGUAUCUUAUCCUUCAUGGAAGAGAUGAAAUAAUGGAUAAUAUUGAUUGACUCUCUAGGCUUAAUAAUAGAAUUUGUGGGCUUCUUUUUGGGGAGCAACUCGACAAGGACAACUCCAAAGCUAUAUACAUCACUUUUAAUUGUUAGCAUACCAAUGGUUAAAUAUUUUGGAUUGAUGUAGCCCAACGUGCCUUGUAUUUCAUUAGCUAUGACAUGACUAUGCUCUGGUGAUAUAAGUACCAAAGUUCUAAAAUCAGAUACUUUUACAAAGUAAUUUUGAUCCAAAAGUAUGUUUACGGACUUGAUGUUGCAAUGAAUGAGUGGGGGUUCUGCACAGGAAUGCAUAUACUCGAGUGCAAGAGCAGCUUCGGCGGCUAUUCUAAGUCGGUUUUUCCAUGAUCAUAAGAUGGUCAACGCAUUCUAAUGGAUGUUUUGGAAUAGGGUACCAUUUGAAAUGUAUUCAUAAACUAGCAAGUUUAUUCUAGUCUCCAAACAUUUGCCAUGGAGCUUCACCACAUUUUUGUGGUUUAUUUACAUCAUAAUUUGAAUUUCAUGUUGGAAAUCCCCCUUGAUUAGAGACCUAUGCACAUCUUUAGGCUUCUUCACUGCAACCAAAAUGGCCUCUACUAUUCUGGCUUUAGAGACUAAAUCGAAACCGCCCUCACCAAGUAUAUUGCUAUCAUCGUAAUUGUUGGUUGAUUUUAUCACAUUCACCAAGAGUAUCAACGGAUGAGUCUUUGUCCAAGUACCUUUGAUACAUAGUAUCAUUUGACUUCUUGGGUUUCCAUCAGGGUCUUGCAUUUGGGUCUACUUCAUUGGGAGAAUUUGUACAAUAAGAGCAUUGACAAAAAGGGUCCUAGAAACAGUGACCAUAUCGAAAAACCAUUACACUACUAGUUAAAUGUUUAUUUGUCAAUCCUUUUUGAGGCAAACCACAAGGGAGUAGGCGAAUUUUUACACAGGUGCGAAAAACUCUCUUGCAAGGUAGCAAUUGUGCUUCACACGAGUUUUCUCAAGUCGUAUCGAUCACAAUUUGCUUUCCCAUUUAUUACUAAUCAAAUAAAAAUAAAAUAGGCAGUUGUGAAUAAUCUAUUUUAGACUAGUUAGAAGUCAGGUAUGACAUGAGAGAUCGCUUUACCUCUACAAAUCAGAGAAUUAGGUACAGGUAUUUGGUUAACGCCCAUUGGUCGGUACCUCUAUUCUUAAAAGGAAAGUUUUUUUUUACAGUCCCGGUCGAUUUUAUUUCCUUUCAUGCGUCUGCAUUUUCAAGCAUUUAUGGUAGUAAAUCAUACACUCUAAAAGUUACCAAAUAUGAAAAAUGUAUGUAAAGCAAUAAAAAAAAAUUGAGAUGGUAAAUAAAAGUGGAAAAAAACAAGCCUAGCCGCGUUGGGCAAGCAUUAAACAUAGUCUUGUUAUAUGCCCCGGGUCAAGAUUUUGUUGCAAUGAAAUAUGAGAAACAGAAAUCCAUGUGCCCUAGAGUCCUAGUUACAUUGCUUUCAUGAAUAUUUUUCUCUUUUAGAAUACAUUAAGGGCUUAAACUUCAAUUCAUCUCUCUUGCCAAGGUUUUCAUAGCUGGGAAAUCAUCAUGGAAGGUUUGAAAAACAAGCUAAGUGUUUUAACUAUCGGGAAAAUGACAUAAAUGGUCAUUGAACUUAGGCUUGGUGUGCAAUUUGGUCCAUGAACUUUUAAUUUGUUUAAUGUGGUUCACUAACUUUUAAUUUAUUUAAUAUGGUCUAUGAACUUUUUAUAAAAGUUCCAUUUAGUUUUUAAACUAUAUAAAAAUAUUCCAUGUUGUCCCUGAUCUUUAAUUAAUGAAAGGAUAAUAUUUAAUAUUUUUAUAUAUUUCAAGAACUACAUUAACUAUAUAUAAAAAAUUUAGGGACCAUUGUAUCAUUAUCCCUUUUGACUACCCAUCGGCAUCCAAGUGGAUGAAUUUUAGGCCUUAAGCGUUCGAAGGUCAAUAAAAGUGUCAUGCAAAAAACAACUUUAAAAAAGAUUCCGGAAAUGGGCCUCUAUGAAAUCCUAAUGUAAUAUUAUCAAGGCCCGAUGCAAAUUCGAAACUGGGCUUGUCCAUGAGCAGCCUAAAUGCCAUUUCGACAGUUUUAGGACAAUGAGACUCGUAUCUGAGGUGAUGCAAAGAGGCUAAGUCCAAUGAAUUUAGAAAGCCGAAGGGCCUUACUAUACAAUUUCUAAGACUCUUUUGGAAAAUGAUUCUUAUAUCUAAUUCGAAGCGGGGAGGCCCAAUACUACUUUAAAUUUUUCUUAAACGGGCCCUAUAUUUGGUUGGAAGGUCCAAUAUGGCUUAUAAAACACAUAAGAAAUUGGGCUUUGCCAAUCUAAUGAGGUGCACCGAAGCCCAAUGCAAAAAGGUUUCUUUUUGGCUUUUUUUUGGGGUCAAAAUUAUACGUCAUGAAACUAAUGGUUUAGGGACAACGUAGCAACAUAGAAUUCGUUUAAUGUGAUCGACUUUUAGUUUAUUUCUUGUGAUCUUUGUACUUUUGGUAUAUGUUCAAUCUUAUCCAAGGACUAUUUUAGAAUUUUUUUUUUUUAACUUUAGAAAAUAUAGGAAGUUUAUCCAAAAAGCUCCCCUUUUUAUGAUAUAAAAAAUUUAUAUACCUUUUAAUUAUAUAAAUAUGUUCAGACGAAUGAAGAUUUUGAAUUAUUUAUUGUGUAUAAAGUAAAAGUUUUUGCCAAUCAGCCAAAGUUAUAUAUAAAGUUUAGAUCAAAGUACUUGGCAUGCAUGACAUAUUUCCCGUGUGUCAAAAGAAAUGAAUAAAUUUAAGAUCAUAUUUCCCAAUUUAAGCAGAUUUGCAAUAAGAUCACUUUGGAAAAAUAGAAAAAAGAGAGGUGAUUUAUCAUUUGUAGAAUCAACUUCUAUUAUUUAAGCAUCAGAGCAUGUUAAUUUUUUUCUAUUUAAGCAUCAAAGCAUAAUAGAAGCGUUUUCUGUUCAAGAAUUACAAAUGCAAGAGCUAUAAUUUUCAAGUAUGGAACAUGAAUCUUUGUAAGCGCAAGUUUCUGCACAAGUUUUCUUCUAUUAAUGAAAGUCAGGUAAGCUUUAUAGACGCUCUUCUUCUGCAAGCAUAUGCUCUUCCAUUUUAAGCACUGUUUCCUCUGUAAGUAUCUGAACAAUAAGAGAUAUACAUUGCUAGCUCAUGCUCCCUCUUUGCAAACUUAAUUUCCUCUUCAAAAAUCAUGGCAACAAAAUCUUCGUAGUUACCUCUACUCUCCUUAAUAGGUAACAGAGAGAACAAUAUGGAUUGUUAGCACGUGCUCUUUAAAAACAUAAGUUCCUCUUCAAGAAUCAAAGUAGAGAAGAGACAUCAGAGCAUAGGUUCUUUUUUUUUUUUUUUCCUUUCUAUAUCAUGGCAAACAUGUUUGGUACGUGUGAUGUUGUCUUGCAUAGGUUCACGGGGUCACGACCUCCCAUGAAGUGAGCGGAGUUGAUUCCGCUUACUGACCGUGACUUAUAGACAUCAAUGCAUUAUGCACUUUACCUUGUAAAGGAACUUCUGCAUGCAUGUGAGGGUAGAUCAUUAAAUCAGAGCUUCUAUUUCUGAGCUAGAGAUAUGCAUCGGAUCGACAGAAAUUUUUCUCGAACCAAUUUCAGUUGUCGCAGACUCUCUUUCAUCCCCUUUAAUUCAGUCCAAAGCUUGAUGCAUUAAGAGUUUCCCCUUCUUAUUUCCUUCAAGUAAGUCUUUCUUUUCUUUUAAGAUAUAGAGUGUGUUUCCUGUACACACGGACACUUCCUCUUAUUGCGCGGUUCCUCUACCUCCGCCAUUCUUUGCAAACCCUAUCUCAUCUUUCCUCCAAACUUCUCCUUUAACAACUACUUGGCCUAUCGUCUACUUCCAUGUCAACGGGGAGAAUCUUCCUUUUCUUCAUCCAUCUAUUAACAAUUGGCUUGACUUGCACAUCCUACUAAGUAUCUCGAAUCCCUCUGAUCUCCGCAAUCCAUUAUCCCAUUCCAGUUCCUCAGGAAUUUUAAGGCCUUUCUCUCUGUGCUAGCGAUAUUAUGAAAUCUAAUUGAUUGUAAAUAUCUUUCGAGAUUUUGUAUAUUUCUCAUUUGAUAGUGUAUAUCAUUGAUUGAUAUGUUACCUUCAAUAUUCAUCUCAUAAAAGCUUAUAAAAAAGGCUGAUGUAAUUUUUGUUAUGAAUAUAUCAAAUUAUAGAGAAAUUUCUCAAAUCUGUCUUCUACAUUUUAUUUUCAACUCUUAAGAUCCUUCUCAUCGCACAGCCAUAGGAAAGAUUGCCCGAGCUUUUAAGAUUUGUACUAUACAUGUUCGAGAAAACGAGUGUGUUCCAAGACUGAAUGAAAUGCCAUUGACGAUAGCGAGCUAAUAGGAGUUUUGUUUCAUAUUUGGUAACGUUCUUUGUCGGAGCAUCCUUGGGAGGAGACAUAGAUUCGGAACUUUUUGCAACACUUUACUUUUCAAAGGAAAUGAUCCAUAAGUUAGAAAUGUCACUCCCCCUUUGUUUCCAUUCCAUAUUAAUUCAUUCCCCAGCAAAAAUUCAUCUCCGGAAAUAGGGUAAAAGUCUCUCAGUAUCAAAUAUAUUGGCCCCACCCCCUAAAAGGAGUGGCGCGGGGAUGGAUACAGUCAUUUCAUGAACCGCUCCAACCUCGGACUCUAGCCGCUUUGUAUAUUUAGUGUUUUAUACUAUAAGUUUUAUAAGAUAUUUCGUCGCGGGAGCAAUUUUAGCGAAAUACUAUUUUAAUUACAUUUGGUUAAUUGUAAUAUAACGUCACAGAGUAUCCUAACUGGACAUUACUCUUUUUUCUAUAAACAAGUUUGAUUAACAUCGCAUCUUGAACUAUAUAAUCACUAUAUUACCAGUUUCCUUAAUGUUUAUAUUAGUGCUUUAUGCUUUGUCUCGCUAAUUUGUCAAAAGAAUUUAAAGUUAUAGAAUCAUAAGCCUAUUUUACAACUUAGUCACAAUAAAGAUCGAUAUUAUAUUACUGCAUUGAAAAUAGAAAGAUCGAUAGAAAGGUCAAUUCUGAUGUUUUUAGAAAGUGCUAUAAAUCAGUACACUAUUUCAUUGGAGUUUUAAAUAAUCAUAUUAGUAUAAAGAGUGUUUGCGCAUGGCAUGGGUUCUCAAAUUAGCCUUUUGCAAAAAUUUGAUAAAAUUUCAGCUGAUAUUUAAGAGGACUGAGAAACUUUUCUGGGUCGACCUCCCUUUCUAAUCCUUGAAGGAUAGUAAUUUCUAGCGGACUCUAUCUUCCCAUGAGUAGUGCAAGGAAAGGUACAAAUCUCAUGUCUACACACCAAACAAAAACGGGCAGGGACGAUUUUGUCACUUCUUCUCCAAAGUGUCAUUUUUCUUAGUGAAUAUUUUACGGCACAGAGCGAGACAAAGACUUGCUAGCAAAUGCCGCCUUCUUUUGUCAAAACAUCCCAACGGCUUCUUGUGAAGUCCGGCUUCUAGGACGACCUGUCAAGUCUUCCAUAUGGAGCCCGUGUACUUCCCUUCUUGUUUAAACACUAAUGGGUCUUAUUCUGUUUAUUUAUUUUGUAUGUAUAGUGAAAUCCCGCGAACCUACAUUGAAAUUGACCCAAUGGUAAAGCUGUUCUCAUGCUUUCGGUUCAAAAAAUCGAUUGUUGUGGGUUCAACUCCUACCUUGGGCAAUUCAACUUUGAGUGAAUGGUCAUGGUGGUGGGUUGUUAUUUAAGUCUCCCUCCAUAUCAUUAGCUAAUUAUGGUUGCAUCCUUGGAUUAUAAAAGAAAAAAUUCUGAGAUCCACUGACAAAAAUUAUAGAAAUCAAGAAUGUACAAGGUGUGUUAGAACUAUUUUUUUCACGAAGUGCAGAAGGUAUAAUGUGACUAUGCUGGAAGAUUCAAAAUAUCUUGAAGGUCAAAAAAGGGAAAAUACUAUAGUAUGUGGAAAGAGAUUACAAUCAAGAUUAGGGGUGAUCGGGUCCAGGGUGGGUAGGGUCUAGACCUAGACCCUGUUCCCGACCCUGUUAUAACGGGUUCUCUUUUUUUGGACCCUGUUCCCGACCCUGUUUACAUUGGACCCUGUUCCCGACCCACCCUGUUUUUCCGGUCUGGGAACAGGGUCAACCCUGUUUAUAUUGGAACCUGUUUUGCAAAAAUUAAUGUAUAGCACUCAUAUUUAAAAUAAAGCGUUUAACACUCAUAUUGAUCAACAUAAGCACAUCUACCAAUUGAUCAACAUAAGCACAUCUACCAUUGUAGCAAAUAAUUUGUACCUCAUAACAUCACUAGAAAAGGAAAAGAAAGAGAGUAUUUCAUCACAUCACAGGUAUCCACUCUACCUCCAUUGAUCAUUUGCCGUAAAGAAAAGGCAAAGAGAAGAAUUGAUCAUAUUCCACUGCCCCAUCAACGGACCAAUCAUCGCAUCUCGACCACUUCCAUGAUAUUUAAGCUGCAACAAUGCCAACAAUGGCAUACAUCAACUGCUGAAACCAGAAAAAAAUAGAAUGCAACAACUUGAGGCAUUCGUUUUCUCACAAGAAAGAUGUGCAAUAACUUACCAUUGGUGGUGGUAAAACACGAGCAUCAACGACAUCAAGUUCCUUUCUCACCGACAUUCCAAAGAGAACUAAGAUUAUGCAAAAUUUAUUGACGGGAAAAAGAUGGAUACUUUCUCUUGUGUAAGACAACUAAGAUUAUGCAAAAUUUGCAAAUCACCAAUGAAGCCACUAAUUAAUGUCAUGUAAUUCUAUUCUUCUGUUUUCGUUGAGUUCCCAUUUAAUUUUUUUUUUAUUUCUGUUGCGUUUGAGUCAUGUUUUAUGACGUCAAAAGUUAUCAAUCAACUUAAUUCAUAAUUAAAUUACUAUGCAACAACACAUACCAGGUCCGUCAACUCGCGCAAAGUAGCAUCUUUCCACGUAUAAAUCUGAACCUCAUCUUUGGGCUCUUUGCCUCUCACUGCAAAGUCUUCCUUGGAAUGAUGGCCCCCAAGCUGUUAAAUUUAAUUGACAUUUAGCAAAUGAGUAAAGUUUAUAGUUUAUGCCACCUCUGACAAACACCUCAGAUAAAUAACCCAACAAGGAAACCACCCCAACAGAUGGUGAAAAGUUAACAAGAAUGUUGUCAUCUUCAUCCUUUCUAUGUGAAAUUAAAGUAAUGUACAUGCAAGAGACAUCAUGGAAAAGGAAACAUGGGAUUUUCACAGCACUAAAGCUCUCAGUAGCAAACAAUGACAUGUAACUCAUAGCUGGAUCACCGCAUAUUCUCUGAACAGAGAUGUUUAUCAAAUGGAAGAGCAUCACCACACCCAGAUAUAAAACACGUGCAACCUGCCAAGCAACCAUAUUGGUGCUUGUGUCGAAUGUAGUAUUCAAUUCUCAUAUAUGGAUGAAAGAGAAAAUGAGAAUGUACUGCAAUGGCCUCUUCAAGUUGCUGAUGCAUUUGCUUUUGUUUCUUUAUUGUUUUCUGAUGUGUGGACCGCAGAAAAAACUCACUGGUCACUUUUUUGCAAGAAUCACACAAAUCAAAAAGAAAGAUGGAUAAUGAGAAUAGCAGUUAUUUCAUCAUUGAGGAAUUAAUAACAAGUAAUAGUUCAACCAUGUACCAAUUAACUUAGAAAUGAAGCAAUUCGCCAGCAUCCAUUAUGCUAUUCCAACAAGACUUGAACAUGUUCUAGACAAGGAUGAGGCCAUUUUCAUACAUCUUCUUGCCCCUUCUCUAUAUUAUUUUAAGAUGCUAGCUUGUAACCAGAAAAAUUCAACCAUAUAGACAAAGGAAUGCCCUUCCUUGGUUAACACUUCUCAAUAAGCCAUUACCUCUUGACACCUAGACAAGGACGGUCGUUAAAAAAAAUGAUAUCAAUGGAUUAAAGGAAACAUUGAACUUGCUCAGCUCAGUCAAAUUGUUACCGUGAGGCGGUGGUGUGAGCACGAGGGGUGCGACGAGAGCAGCAGAGGCGGCGUUGGAUGGAAUCGGGAUCAGCGCUCGGACAAAGGGAGGCACGGGCGAGCAAAGGUGCGACUGCGGGUGCAGGCGUCGGCGGAGGAGUCUCGGCUGCAGGUUGCGGACAGAAGGCGGGCGGGCGGGCGACGCUGGAGUUGCUACAGGGCAGAAGCAGGGGCUCGGCUGCAGAUCUCAUGGGUGAGCACUGAGCAGGGGGCUCGGACGGACGGGUUGAGGACAGGCAGAAGCAGGGGCUCGGCUUCUGGCAGUGGCGCGGGCGACGCUGGAGUUGCUGCAGGGCAUAAGCAGGGGCUCGGCUUCUGGCGGUGGCGCCCAGUUUCGCGAAGGACGAGGCUCAAGCAGAGAAGCAGCAGCAGCUUCGCGAAGGGACGAGGCUCAGGCGGAGAAGCAGCAGCAGCUUCGCGAAGGGUUGGGGCUCAGGCGGAGAAGCAGCGGUGGUGGCGCCCAGCUUCGCGAAGGAUGGGGCUUAGGCGGAGAAGGAGUAGCAGCGGAGAAGGAGAGCAGCAGCUUCGCGAAGGGGGUGAGACUUGUGAGAGAGAGGUAAAGAUAGAAAUUAGGGUUACGCGGUUUUUUUUUUUUUUUGGGUGGCUUAACCGGUUCUCCAACCGGUUCCAAAACCGGUCCGGUCGAACCGGUUCCCGGGUGGGUAAUCCCUCGGAACCGGUUCCCGGACCGGUUCAAACAGGGUCUGAGUUGUUGGAACCGGUUCCCGGACCGGUUUCAACCGGAACCGGUUCCUGACCCUGUUUUCCGGGUGGGCCGAACCGGGAACCGGGUUGACCCGGUUCGGUUGCACACCCCUAAUCAAGAUGAUGGAGGGGAAGAGGCAUUUAAACUUCAAGCAAGAACACCAAUGUGCAUACAUGUGUGGUGGUUCUCUCAAAUUACAUUGGUAAUGAAAUAUUUGUAAAAAUGUAGACAAAUUAGUGUACAAAACAAAGGGAUAAAUGAAAUAAAUAGUUUUUGAACUUUGGCCUAAUAUGUAAUGUGAUCCGUAAACUUUUAAUGUAUUUGAUGCGGUCCAUAAACUUUUAAAUUGUUCAAUGUGAUCCCUGGACUUUUAGUACAUGUUUAAUAUAGUCCAUGAAUUAUAUAAAAAUGUUUAGUGUUGCCUUUCCAUUAAUUCGAGAUCAAGGACAUUUUAUUGUUAAGGGACAAAAUUAAAUAUGUACCAAAAGUCCUGAGACCAUAUUAAACUAAUUAAAAGUUCAGGAAUAACAUUACACAUCGAUAUAAAGUUCAAAAAUCACAUUACACAUUGGACUAAAGUUUAAUGAUCACUUGUGUCAUUUUCCCAAAAACAAAAGGGAUAAGUUUAGAAAAAUGUGGAAUUUAAGAGAAGUCACGAUACAGGAUAAAGUGGCAAUAAUGUGAGAAGUCGCUCCUUGGAUCUCUUUACUCAUAGGCAGCAUAGCACACUAGAGUACUCAUUUGGAAUUUAAGUGACCGACGAGUUUAUCGGAACAUCAUGUUGACAAUUACUCUCACGAGAUCCCUAGAAGCAAAGCAAUUUAAGUUUCUAUUUAGAAUGUCUCUUAUGGUUGUUUUUGUUUUUGUUUAGAAUUUGAGCAAGAGAUUUUAUGUUGUUAAGGAGUUCCCCAAGAGUAUUUAUUAAAUAACUAUAAUGAAACUUUUAGAUUUGAAAAAACUGAUUCUUCUCAUGUCAAAUAAAAUUACUACAUCGUCGAGAAUUGAAAAUUUUCCAAACUUCUGAAACAAUCAUGGCUUUAGAAUGUUCGCAAUUUGAGUGAAAAUGAAAAUGAAUAUGUUAAUUGCUCGCAUUUAUAUUUAAGUAAGUUUGUAUCGGGUUCAGACGAAAAUAAAAGUUUGUAUGAGAUAAUAUUUAUAACUUGUUCAUGAAUCAAAAACAUGGUUUGCCAAAAAAGCCGGCAAUCACUUUCCCACGGUCAGUAGCGAUGACCCGGUCUUCCAAUGUGCUGACCGACUUCGCUGCCGCCAAGGCAUCGGCAUCAACGAAAGUAGGGAUUAUAAAAACCGGUAAGACGAGAACCAGAGGAAGGCACAGGAUGGAAAAACAUAAAGAUGAGAGCGGCUGUGUUGUGCUGUCUUUCAAUUCGAGUGGCCUUGGCUUUGGCCACUUUUACCGUGAAGGACAACUGCGACCGAACGUGCGGCAACAUGAGCGUGCCUUUCCCAUCUGGACUCGACGAAAGUUGCGCGUGGAACUCCUACCUCGUCCUCAGCCGCAACCACACUUCCAGGGACCUGUCUCUCGGUGACAACAUUCCGGUGUUGGACAUAUCCGUGGAGAACGGGACAAUGACCAUUGGCCAGCACAGAGCUUUCGACUGCUAUGACGAUAAUGGCCAUCUGCUUGACGACUCUGUCUUGACACUUCGAUCACAUUUGGUGAAGACGGGCAAUAUACAUUCUCACUUCUCAGACACCCAGAACAAGCUCACUGUCUUCGGUUGCGACACCUCGGCUGUUAUCUUGGAUGCCACUAGGACUUCCGGGAGUGGAUGCUUCUCCUAUUGCCGCGAGGACAUUAACUUCAUAGCUGAAAGCUAUUGCUCCGGCUACAGAUGCUGUGAAACAUCGAUCCCCAGGAGCCUCAGGAGCCUUCAUAUAUUCAUGAGCGGCUCAACGAAUUACACCUCGGUUCAGGACUUCAGCUCUUGUGGGUCAGCGUUCUAGUGGACCAGGACUUGUUUAACGUCUCCGAUUACAGACUUCCUAUCCCAGAUGAUAUGUUCGUUAAAAAAUACUCAAAACGUUGUCCUGGAUUGGGUAGUUGAACGGGAAUUGACCUGCAAGGCAGUGCAAUCGAACCGACCGAGCUAUGCUUGUGGUGCCAAUAGUUUCUGCUCUGACUUCAGGAGAGGGCAGGGUUAUCGUUGCUUCUGUGAUGCUGGGUGCACGGGGAUUCCCUAUGCCUCUCCGCUGUCCCCAGGAUGUCAAGGUAUCGUUCUGUUCUCUUUGCAAGCCAAAGUUUCUAUGAUUGGAUUGGGCCAAAUUUUCUGCGGUCCAAUUUCCUCGCACCAGUUUUUCAUCGAGUCGAGUUAGAUGCUUCAACACAUAUUAAGAAGCCAAAAUACAAGCAUGCGCAUAUUCAGUUCACCAUGAUUUUGCUUCAUAUAGACAUUGAUGAAUGCAAGGAUCCACGACGAUACCAUUGCAUGGAAAUUGCAAGAAUACGCCCAGGAACUACACAUGCGACUGCCCAUUCGGCAUGACUGGUGAUGGCAAAGUCGGCUGCCAAAUUUCGAGUCUUGCCCACAACCGCUGCAGGUAAUUCUAUUCCCCUGUGAUGGUCGCUUAAUGAACUAUUCUAUUCUUGCUGAUCGCGAGUCCACUUGCUAUUGAUCUGGUUUAUGUUGAGAUGUUCUGAAAUUGUAUUCGAUCCUACUUUUCAACCGAGAGAUCAUUGGUCACCAAUCGAUGACCAUCGGAAAAAAAAAAGGUCAGUCUCGCCCAGUGAUUGCAAAGUCAGUAAAUUACGAUCCGUUAUAAUCCGAGAAUCCAUUCCAAGUACCAUAGAAGUGCCCCUCAUCUGGGUUUUUUCCUUUUCUUUCUUGGUGUUCACCAAGAGACACUCCCAGCCGCACCGUGUUUUUCUUUCUUCUGGUCGUAUAUUCACUGCACACACCACACUGCCUUUUUAUUAUUCACGUCAAAAACACACCUUAGCCUUUUGGCCAAAAGGCUAAAAAGUCCAACCUUCAUCUAAAAAUUGCAAGUUUACUAACAUGACCAAAAGUACAUCAACGAACUCAAUUGAGUCUAACUAAAAAAAUUACCGACAAACUCCAAUCUAAGAGUCGAAGGUUGAAGAACUCUGAGGUCCAAGUAUUUAAGGGGGUCAAGUUAACAUUAAAAUUUAGUUCUUAAAUUUAAAAGGCCCAAAUUCAUCGUAUAACCUAAGUCAAAUUUUUUGGGAAAAACUAAUUAAUUUAUUACUCUAUUUUGUGUGGCAGUCAUUGUAUCGAUAACAUUAAGCGUAGUUGUUAGUGGGCUAGUCUUUUUCAUAUGCAAGAGGAGAGCCAAAGAGAGAUAUGUUGGGCAAAAUGGAGGAGAGAUCUUGAAGCACCAAAGAGUGAAAAUCUUCACUGAGGCACAGUUGGCUAAAGCCACCAAUCACUACAAUACUAGCAACAAGCUCGAUGAGGGUGGUUUUGCUUCAAUCUACAAAGGAAGAAUUGACGGUGAUGUUUUAUUCGCAGUCAAGAAGCCUAGAGAUGUCCUUGCCAAUAAGUCAAAAGACAUGAACAAGGACUUGUCUCUAAGUACUCACGAUGAAUUUCUACACGAAAUCAGCAUCAUUUCACAGGUGAAUCACUAGAACUUGGUCAAGCUCCUGGGCAUAUGUUUGGAGACAAAUGUGCCAUUGUUGGUCUAUGAAUUCAUUCCUAAUGGGACUCUCUAUCACCACAUUCAUGACAAGAGAUCGACCGUUUUGUGCUCGUGGAAGAAUUGCCUCAGGAUUGCCUCAGAAGCUACCUUGGCCCUCGAGUACUUGCAUUCCCUAGCUGACCCACCGGUCAUUCACAGUGAUGUCAAGUCUCUAAAUAUACUUUUAGACAAGAAGCACUCAACAAAAGUAUCUGAUUCAGGGCCUCGGUUUUGAUAUCACUUGGAAAGACUCAUAUAACUGAGAGAGUACAAGGCACAAUAGGUUACCUUGACCCUUAGUGUCUCACCAUUGGUGAAUUAACCAUGAAGAGCGACAUUUAUAGCUUUGGGGUUGUCCUUGUGGAGCUCCUCACCGGAGAGAUGCCAACUCGAUGAGCAAAAUAUGGGGAAAAAAUCAAUGCCGUCCAAUUUUUCAUCUCCCCCAUGGAGAACCAGACACUCAUCCAUAUGACAAAGUUCGAGGCAUCCAACGAAGGUGAAUUGCAGGAGAUCGAGGCAGUUGGUUCGCUUGCUAGAAGGUGCUUAAACUUUAAUGGUGUCAAAAGGCCAACAAUGAGGGAAGUGGCCGAGCAACUGACUAGGAUCAACAAGAACUUGUGGGCCGAUCGACAGGACGGUGAAGAGACUCAAAGUGUACUUGACGAGACGGAAUGUGAUUCUCUCCGGACUUCAAUCAGUGAAAUGAACAAACUGAAUCGACUGCCCUUUUAUUAUUUGACAUCGAAGCAGCCACUUCUAGUUCCAGUGUCUGAUUCGUGCUUUCUAACAUAAAAAUAAGUCCAGGGGUCGUAUGUCCCGGCUUGAUUAAUUAGAGAUUUUAAAGUUUUUUAAGGGAUGAUUCUUAUUUAAGGUAAGUACGGUUUAUGAUUUGCUGGAUGAAUAAUUACAGAAUGAUUGCGCUGUUCCGUAUCUCUUCGAACAAUUUAAUGGGAAAUUACAUUUUUGAAUUGCAUUUUCCCAUAGACCUUCUUUCCCAAAUAAAGCACGAAGGCAGUUUCCUAAUUUUUGGCGUUGUAUCGUUUUCUCUUUUUUUCCUUUUUGUCACUAUAGCAAAAGAUGCCGCUUUAUAGAAAGGCAAGAGCUACCAGAAAGCUUGAAUGACAAACUCUACUCCAUUUUCAUGUUUUAGCCGAACAACGAAAAAUAUGAUCAUUUUCUUAGAAAAUGACUUCUUGGAAAAUUAAGAUAAUAUAAAAUUCAUUCAUUAGUACCGUUAAUAAUUCUAGUUAUAUCCGCAGAGAUAUGCAAGGCCAAUUCUUCUCCAAGCCUAUUAAGUGAAUUCAUAAUACAAAGUAUGCAACCAUGGAUUGUGUCCUCAAUCCUUCAUUAUAUAUUAUAUGUAUUAUACACCUAAUAUGUUACCUUAGAUUUCAUACAAAAGAUAAGGAUUUUGGUAUCUUUUAAAGUGAUAAAAAAAAUUAAGUAAAAUGCUAAUAUUAAGGCCAUUGAAUUGCUACGGAAUUUAUUAUUACAUUUUAUUUAUUUUCACGUGGUAACAUUCACAAAAUUAUUUUCAUUUGGAAAAAUAUAGCGGUAUAAUGAAUUUAUUUUUUCACCUAAUUAAAAAAUGAAAUUCUUAUGAAAACAAAUGAAGUUUUUAUCUUGCUAGGCAAAAGACAAUUUACUUGGAAAAUUAAUCUUACAAUAUAUAAUAACAACAAAAAACAAAAACAAAAACAAAAAGAAACAAAAGUAAAAAUAAAAAAACCAGGCCUUCUUGAGUGUCUGUUUUUGUUGGUGCUGGGCCUCCCUCUUGUAUUCUUUCUUGGAAAAUCAAUAUAUUACUUACCUUUACCAAAAAAAAAAAAAAAAACCAAACUGAACUAAAUGAAUUUUCUUAUUGGUUCGGUUCGGUUCGGUUUUUCAAAAAAACUGAACUAAACCAAACCAUUUAUAGCUUCUCUUGCCUAGUCCAUGAUAAACAAACUCCAGCAUAGUGUCUCCACAGUGUAACUCAGUUUGGACUAUAGAAUCCCCCAACACAGAGUCUUUGUCAAUGCAAUUUGCAUCAUCGAUUGUUUUAUUUAUUUAUUAUUAUUUCAGUUUUGGUGCCGCUGUCUUGAGCUUGGCUUAUUGGCGGUCCUUGGUCUUAGGCUGCGAGGCGGCUAAGCCACCGUCGUCUCUGGUCAGGUUCCCAUGACUUAGGUCCAAGCACAGGAUCCUGGGUUUGUCGGAGGGGCAUCUGCUCCAAGGCAUUCGAAACAACCUUGCAAUAGUGAAGUUGUAUUCCAAAAAAUGAUUUCUAAUUUUCAAUAUAGAAAGCCAUAUUGCUGAUUUUAGAUAUAGAUUUUCCAUUGAUUAUAAAAUGAUUUCUCAUGGACUUGCUUCUUAAACGUUAAAAUACCGGAGAAUUGUAGAGGGUUUCGGUAAUUUACCUGAUUCUUUUUAUUAGUAUUUGGAUCACAUGCAUUGCAUGUGGUUUUGUGAUAUUAACAUCUUCAUAUAAAAAGAAUAUUGAUAAGGACAGGCUUUUAGGCUUUUAGGGUCGUCUUUGCCGGUUGCUGAUUGUUAAUUUUUUCAGCAGUGUUUUUGAGAGGGUUGUUUCCAAUAUUUUUUAAGUGCUUCUGAUAUUUGAACAGAAGAGUUUUGAACUUUAUGUAAUUGUCAAAAAACAAAUCCUCUCCGUAGCUUAUAUCCUCUAUACUAGUCACAAGCAUCAACAAACUCAACGAUGGUGGCCUCAAGAUGAGAUUAUCGCUUUAUCUAAGAUGAGUAAGAGAUUAUCAGAAGCUGCAGAGACAGUCACAUAUCCAUAAAUCAGAUGAGACAAUAAUUCAUUAAUCACAACUGUACUAUACAGUCGGUCAAAGACUCGUCCUUCUGUGCAUUUUUGCAAGAAGUAAAAUCCUUCCGAUGCUCUGUUAAAAAAAAAAAAAAAUCCUUCCGAUGCCAAGGCUUUGGGAUUAAAUCUUGCCUUGGUGACGACUUUGAAACCCUGUAAAGGUACAAGACUACAUUUCCACAUGAUGGAAGGGCCGAUGUCUUCUUAAUAUGCACAAAAGACCAAAGAGCUAUUGGAAGCUGUACUGCAAGAAAAUGGUCCAUAAAUUAAGGACAACACUUUCGUUACGUGAUCUGUGUAUGGCUGUCAUAGACUUAUAGUUACAAAUGAUAACUACGUUUUUGUAAUCACUGUGCGAUUAUGCAUGUAGGCUCAGCGGCGAUAAAGAUUAAUCAGUCAAUCGCAUCUCUCUGUCAUCUGCACAAGAUGGCUUGGAAUGUUAUAUGCAAAGAGCCUUUUUUGUUGUGAAUUUGCACCCUUGCACCGAUUAAACGAUCUGAGGCAUCAAUUCUACGUCUCUUCAGAGUUUUGAUCCUUUCGGAAAUGGCUUCCACUGAGUGUAUGGAUUUCUUAAUCUGCAGUUCUCUUCCAUGGAGGGCGAACGAAUUGACAUUGUCGGUGUAGUUCAUCUUCGUGAGCUCCUCGGUGGAAGCGGCAAACUGAUGCCUCGCCCGGAGCACUUACAUCGGAAGUCAGUAGGCAAGAUAGAAAAAAAAUAUUAACCAAACGAAGAUCAGGUGAUAACUCUUUGUUUCUUUUUCUUUUUUUAGAUUAAUACCACGAAAAAUCUCAAAUUGGUGCACAGAUAACAAAUUUAUCCUAAAUUAAUUAUACUCGUGACAAAUUUACUCUCCGUUAGUUUCUGUUAAAUUUUACUGUCAAAUUGCUAAUUGGAUAACACGUGGUAGUUAGGCUCCGUUUGGUUCGACUUUCCCAAGGGGCUUUGGGCCCCUAAAGCCCCUUGAGAAAAAUUUAUGGUGUUUGGUUCAGCAUUUGUAGCUUCUCUUCCCCAAAUGUUUGCCUUUGAAAUGCUGAAAAGCUAAAGCAUGUGGGAACUCGCUUUUUAGCAUUUUUGAAAUGCUAAAGAGGGGUAUAAUGAUUUUUUUUCUUCCGAUAUUACCCUCACUGAUAAUUGCAUUUUCCUGUUUUACCCUAAAAAAUUACUGUUCAUCGUCUUCCUUGUUGGACUUGUUUUUUCAAGAGUGAAGCUGAGCCGGCCAGAUCUAGUCGCCCAUGCACCGCUGUCGACGCACUGCCGUCUCGUGGUCGCGGCUCAAGCGGCAUCGCCUGGGUCGCGUGACUCGCGACGGGCUAAGCAGAGCUUAGCCGGCCAGAUCUAGUCNNNNNNNNNNNNNNNNNNNNNNNNNNNNNNNNNNNNNNNNNNNNNNNNNNNNNNNNNNNNNNNNNNNNNNNNNNNNNNNNNNNNNNNNNNNNNNNNNNNNGCACUUACAUCGGAAGUCAGUAGGCAAGAUAGAAAAAAAAAAAAAAUAUUAACCAAACAAAGAUCAGGUGAUAACUCUUUGUUUUUUUUUAUAUAGAUUAAUACCACGAAAAAUCUCAAAUUGGUGCACAUAUGACAAAUUUACCAUAAAUUAAUUAUACCUGUGACAAAUUUACUCUAUGUUAGUUUUCGUUAAAUUUUACUAUCAAAUUGCUAAUUGGAUGACAUGUGGUAGUUAAUAGGUGUACCCGUUUGAGGUUUUACUCCCUGUUUGCUAAAGGUGUAUGGGUUCAUGGUUUUUGGUGGUAUUAAUCUAAUUAGUGGAACUAAUAGAGGGUAAAUCCGUCGUAAAUGUUCUAAUUUGGGGUUUUUAGUAGGCAAAAAAUUAGUUUGGGUAAAAUUUAUCGCCGGUGUUCUAAUUUAAUUUUUAGUGAUCGAAAAAUUAAUUUGAAAUAAAUUUAUCAAAUAUAUAUCAAUUUAGGAUUUUGCCAUAUUUGCAUGGACAUAAGGAUAGUGUGUCCGGGCUUUGGAGAUCAUCAUGGCUUCAAAGUGACGUAAUUGAAUUCCGAUGCAGGGACCGUCGGUUGAACCAUCGCAUCCGGAACCAAAAAACGAGUUCCUCUCAUUCUCUGUCGCGGGACUGAAUCGAGUUCCCUGUGGGUUUUUUAAGACGAGCCGAACUGAAGAGGAAUCUGCAUUUCUGGAUGGGAAUUAAAACGUGGACAAAAGAAAUUGGGACGACCAAUGGAGGCCGUAACGAACGAGCGGUUUUUACCACGUGUUUCACUGUUCCUAAUUGUUGACGCCCACUGCUUCUUCCCCCACUUUUUAGGAAUAAAACAUUCCUGAUUUAUAGAUUUUUGGAAGUCAUAAGCUUGUUAAUAGAGAACAAAUUUCUCAGUGGGCUUCUUCCCUCUGCAAAAUCUUAUGUUAAGUUGUUAACUUGUCCCCCCCACAAAAUGGAGUAGCUAGUUUCUUUCCCCCACAAAUGCCCUGGAGUCAUCACAAGCAUGACUGAUUAUUAUUACCUUCUGAUAAUCCAUAAAAUUCCUUUUAAAUCCCAUGAAGAUUUAGGUUCAACCUUGGAUAUGAGCACAUGGCAUUGACCCAAAGUAGUUUACACAAUGAUCUCCCGUUCCUUAAUUGGAAAUAGCCCGACACUCCCAACAAACUAUGCUAAUCCGAAAGUAAGUUUUCUUAUUAUUAUUUUUCCUUUUACACGGAACAUGGGUUAGUUUUUCAUAUCUUUUCCAAAAUCCCUCUUAAAAAUAUUUAAGAUAUUUUCCCUGGUUUUCUAUAUCUAUUUUGAUUAAGUAUAUUUGAUUUCAUUUCCUUCGAUUUCCUCGAUCUAAUCCAAUAAAAAGGCUUUCCAUUUACUAAUAUAUAUAUAUAUAUAUAUAUAUAUAUAUAUAUAUAUAUAUAUUGAAGUAUAGAGAAAUUCUAUAUUCUUCUCUUCUGCAUAUUAUUUUAAUUAUUCAACUAUCCCUAACUCUUUCACCGAAAAGCUGAGAAAGAACUUUAACCGAUCAAGAUGACUACAUAGGAAAGGCAUUGAUCGUUGUAGUUGAUCUUUAGAUUACAUAUAGACUGAGGCAAAUGACGGCUUCCCUCUCUUUCCAUGAACAUGUCAAACUGUCUUUUGUUGUUUUUAAAAUGCAGCGGUCUCUCUCCCACAUGGGCCAAUACCAUGGAUGACUCGGUAUAUUAUUUUGUGUGACGAUUUGCCCCUUUUCAGCUUAUAAGUGAAAGAUAUUGACCGUUGAAGUAAAAAAAGAAAAAUUAUAAUUAUAUUACACAAAUAUAUCUGAUGGACUUCUUAUUUUAAUUAUAAAAUUUGCAUAGAGUCCUUUUUCUAUUCUUAGAUUGAGGUCCCUUUUAUGGAGAUGGUUAGUCAAAUGCGACUCCUAUUGAAGCAAAGGACCUUCGAAUUUCUAUUGAAAACUUCUCUUUUCCCCAUGGAGGUGGGCUUGAGACCUAUAAACUUGUCUUGCAUGGAGCACAGGUUCGAGAUGGGGUCACCUCAACUAUCUUCGGGCGGGGCUGAAGACGAAACUCCCCCUCUUCCCGGCCCACCCGACACCAUUGCUGUCACCAUCGAAUAAGGUUGCAGCCUUUGGGCAAACCGCAGAUUUUCAGGGUAUCAUAUUUUCGCAAUCUGCCUAGUGCUUCGGAGAAGUUUUCACAAAGUACAGCUUGUGUGAAAGCUAAACAUUUGAUAAAAUAUCAGCCGAUAUUUCGGAAGACUAAGAAACCUUUUUGGGUCAACCUUCCUUCUAAUCCUCAAUAGACGCUAAGUUCUGUGGCCUGCAGCUUCGCAUGAGUAGUGGUAAGAGGAAUGGACACAUCUCGUGUCUGCAUACCAAACAAAAAACUGGCAAGGACUACUUCAUCGCUUCUCCAGUAUGUCAAUUAUUUGAAUGAAUUUUCUAUGGCGACAGAAACAUGAAAAGAGGACGAAUUAUGAAGUCCAUCUUCUACGAGGACCAGUCAAAGUCUCCCCCGAUGUUGAUAUGAAGCCCAUGUUCUCACGUCUAGAUUGAUAAAAUCCUAGUGGGUCUUAUUUUGUUUACGUAUCGUAAAUUUCCGAGGACCUACCAUGAGAUUGAUCCAAUUAUAAGGGUAUUCUCAUGCUUUCGGCUAAAAAAAAUCCACUUCUGUGAGUUCGGCUUCUACUCUCGGGAUCUCAACUUUAAAUGGGUGGUCUUGGUGGUGCCUUGUCACGUUAGUUUUUUCUCCGAAUAGCUGGCUAAUUAUGGUUGGGUCCUCAUAUUAUUAAAAAAAAGCAACUUUGGGAACCGCCAACAAAAAAAUAGGCCUAUUUCCUUAAAAAGAAAAUCUCAAAUUUGAAGUCCAGUCCCAAUUAUAACCCAAUUUUUUUUAUCUAAAAAAAAAUCUCUAACUUUCACCUUAGUCUCCAAUUUGCAUACGUUAACUUUCCAUCCAAUAUCUCCAUUGAUUAUCUUAAGUGGCAUCUCCAUGUCAGCAAUAUAUUUACAUCAUCUGCUUACGUGGACUUUUCAUCAUUGUUUAUCAUCCCUAUUUGCUUUUCUCUUCUUUACUCCUUGCAACCUCCAUUAACAACUGCAACUUGUGAAUUUCAACUCGGUAAUAUUUUGGUCUAUCAUUUCCAACUUGAAAAACUUGUUAAAGCUACAAAUUUCUCAAUCUCAACUUCAAGAACUGAAUUCAGUCGACUCGAACAACUAAAGACCAUUGAUAGUGACCAAAUGUGAUCCCUUAGACAGGUUAAUCAUUACCGGAAGCUCAAAGAAUCUUGAAAAAUGUGGGUAUUGGAAUGUCCAAAGCUAGUUGAGAUUAGAGCCUCGUCACUGUUCACUGUUCUCUUCGCGUGGACUCACUCGAUCACAGCUUCACUGGCGCUCAUCCAUCGCCACCCAGACCUCUGACGCCAGGCCAUGACGUUCGACGACACGUUCACAAUGGUUGCAGUCGUCGGAAUCAUCUCUGGCCAUUUCGGCCGAGAGCCCCAUUUUCGAUUCCGGUUUUUCAAGCUUCAAGAAGCCAUUUUGAUCGGGCACCACCUUCGCUCAGCCAUCCCCAAAGCUUUAUAGACCCAUUACGCGCCCGGGUGAUAAUGAAAUGAGCCCAAGCUUUCCCUACAACCACCGCCGCUCGAAGGGCGCAUAUCGUUUCCUUCACUUUGUGCCCUACGGGCAACCUCCAUUAGUGGAGGUUGUGUGAUUGAGGUGCGCGACCUCACAUUUGAGGUCAUGCGACUCAGAUCUAAGGUCGCACAAUUCAAAUCCGACGUUGUGCGACCCAGAUUUGAACUUAAGCAUCCACUAAUGGAGUUUGCAAGGAAUUGAGAAGAAGAAAAAAAUAUGAAGGUGAUGAAAAAUGACAAAAAAUCCACAUAAGUGGACAACUUAAAUUUAAUGUUAACGUGGAAAUGCCACGUUGGAUGACUAAUGGUAAUUUUGAACGGAGGGUUAAUAGGGUAAAUUUGUGAUUAAAGUGAAAGUUGAGAUAUUUUUUUAGACAAAAAAAAGUUCGGGGUAGAAUUAGGACUAAACCUAAAAUUUUGGGGCUUUUCCAGGGAAUUAGGCCCAAAAAAAUAUAGAAAACAAGAUUGUAUGAGGUAUACUAGCACUAUCCUCAAUGAUAAAUUAAGUAUUUCACAAAUGGUAGAAGGAAAGAUGCAAUUAUUCUUAAAGUUUCAAAAUUUUAUGAAGGUCAAUAAGUAGGGAAGAGAAAAAUAGAAGAAGAUGGAAGGAGAUUACAAUCAAGAUGGUGGAGGGGAAGAGGUAUUUAACCUCUGUGCAAGAACGCCAAUUUGCAUGCAUUUGUGGUGGUUCUCUCAAAUUACAUUGGUAAAUGAAAUAUCAGAAAAAAAUGUACAAAUUAGCGUACAAAACAAAAGGGAAUUAAGAAGAAAGUGGCAGUUAGAGAAGUUACAGUGGAACUCCCUUCUGGAUUCCAACGGACAGUCGCCGUAUUCCUACGCUGUAAUGAAGAAUAAUCAUUCCUACAAUGAGCUUGUGUCCUGUAAACUUGCCGACAGGAGGAACAGUCAAAUUUCUGUGAUAAUCGAAAGUGAAAUGGAGGAGUUGCAGCCGUCAGUUGGGCAAGAGUCUAGCCAUCGUGCCCAGUCUCAGUCGAGUAUGGGCUCGUGCAUGAGAUGUGCAGCAGCGCAGCAGCAGCAGCAGCAAAAUAUGGUAGNNNNNNNNNNNNNNNNNNNNNNNNNNNNNNNNNNNNNNNNNNNNNNNNNNNNNNNNNNNNNNNNNNNNNNNNNNNNNNNNNNNNNNNNNNNNNNNNNNNNNNNNNNNNNNNNNNNNNNNNNNNNNNNNNNNNNNNNNNNNNNNNNNNNNNNNNNNNNNNNNNNNNNNNNNNNNNNNNNNNNNNNNNNNNNNNNNNNNNNNNNNNNNNNNNNNNNNNNNNNNNNNNNNNNNNNNNNNNNNNNNNNNNNNNNNNNNNNNNNNNNNNNNNNNNNNNNNNNNNNNNNNNNNNNNNNNNNNNNNNNNNNNNNNNNNNNNNNNNNNNNNNNNNNNNNNNNNNNNNNNNNNNNNNNNNNNNNNNNNNNNNNNNNNNNNNNNNNNNNNNNNNNNNNNNNNNNNNNNNNNNNNNNNNNNNNNNNNNNNNNNNNNNNNNNNNNNNNNNNNNNNNNNNNNNNNNNNNNNNNNNNNNNNNNNNNNNNNNNNNNNNNNNNNNNNNNNNNNNNNNNNNNNNNNNNNNNNNNNNNNNNNNNNNNNNNNNNNNNNNNNNNNNNNNNNNNNNNNNNNNNNNNNNNNNNNNNNNNNNNNNNNNNNNNNNNNNNNNNNNNNNNNNNNNNNNNNNNNNNNNNNNNNNNNNNNNNNNNNNNNNNNNNNNNNNNNNNNNNNNNNNNNNNNNNNNNNNNNNNNNNNNNNNNNNNNNNNNNNNNNNNNNNNNNNNNNNNNNNNNNNNNNNNNNNNNNNNNNNNNNNNNNNNNNNNNNNNNNNNNNNNNNNNNNNNNNNNNNNNNNNNNNNNNNNNNNNNNNNNNNNNNNNNNNNNNNNNNNNNNNNNNNNNNNNNNNNNNNNNNNNNNNNNNNNNNNNNNNNNNNNNNNNNNNNNNNNNNNNNNNNNNNNNNNNNNNNNNNNNNNNNNNNNNNNNNNNNNNNNNNNNNNNNNNNNNNNNNNNNNNNNNNNNNNNNNNNNNNNNNNNNNNNNNNNNNNNNNNNNNNNNNNNNNNNNNNNNNNNNNNNNNNNNNNNNNNNNNNNNNNNNNNNNNNNNNNNNNNNNNNNNNNNNNNNNNNNNNNNNNNNNNNNNNNNNNNNNNNNNNNNNNNNNNNNNNNNNNNNNNNNNNNNNNNNNNNNNNNNNNNNNNNNNNNNNNNNNNNNNNNNNNNNNNNNNNNNNNNNNNNNNNNNNNNNNNNNNNNNNNNNNNNNNNNNNNNNNNNNNNNNNNNNNNNNNNNNNNNNNNNNNNNNNNNNNNNNNNNNNNNNNNNNNNNNNNNNNNNNNNNNNNNNNNNNNNNNNNNNNNNNNNNNNNNNNNNNNNNNNNNNNNNNNNNNNNNNNNNNNNNNNNNNNNNNNNNNNNNNNNNNNNNNNNNNNNNNNNNNNNNNNNNNNNNNNNNNNNNNNNNNNNNNNNNNNNNNNNNNNNNNNNNNNNNNNNNNNNNNNNNNNNNNNNNNNNNNNNNNNNNNNNNNNNNNNNNNNNNNNNNNNNNNNNNNNNNNNNNNNNNNNNNNNNNNNNNNNNNNNNNNNNNNNNNNNNNNNNNNNNNNNNNNNNNNNNNNNNNNNNNNNNNNNNNNNNNNNNNNNNNNNNNNNNNNNNNNNNNNNNNNNNNNNNNNNNNNNNNNNNNNNNNNNNNNNNNNNNNNNNNNNNNNNNNNNNNNNNNNNNNNNNNNNNNNNNNNNNNNNNNNNNNNNNNNNNNNNNNNNNNNNNNNNNNNNNNNNNNNNNNNNNNNNNNNNNNNNNNNNNNNNNNNNNNNNNNNNNNNNNNNNNNNNNNNNNNNNNNNNNNNNNNNNNNNNNNNNNNNNNNNNNNNNNNNNNNNNNNNNNNNNNNNNNNNNNNNNNNNNNNNNNNNNNNNNNNNNNNNNNNNNNNNNNNNNNNNNNNNNNNNNNNNNNNNNNNNNNNNNNNNNNNNNNNNNNNNNNNNNNNNNNNNNNNNNNNNNNNNNNNNNNNNNNNNNNNNNNNNNNNNNNNNNNNNNNNNNNNNNNNNNNNNNNNNNNNNNNNNNNNNNNNNNNNNNNNNNNNNNNNNNNNNNNNNNNNNNNNNNNNNNNNNNNNNNNNNNNNNNNNNNNNNNNNNNNNNNNNNNNNNNNNNNNNNNNNNNNNNNNNNNNNNNNNNNNNNNNNNNNNNNNNNNNNNNNNNNNNNNNNNNNNNNNNNNNNNNNNNNNNNNNNNNNNNNNNNNNNNNNNNNNNNNNNNNNNNNNNNNNNNNNNNNNNNNNNNNNNNNNNNNNNNNNNNNNNNNNNNNNNNNNNNNNNNNNNNNNNNNNNNNNNNNNNNNNNNNNNNNNNNNNNNNNNNNNNNNNNNNNNNNNNNNNNNNNNNNNNNNNNNNNNNNNNNNNNNNNNNNNNNNNNNNNNNNNNNNNNNNNNNNNNNNNNNNNNNNNNNNNNNNNNNNNNNNNNNNNNNNNNNNNNNNNNNNNNNNNNNNNNNNNNNNNNNNNNNNNNNNNNNNNNNNNNNNNNNNNNNNNNNNNNNNNNNNNNNNNNNNNNNNNNNNNNNNNNNNNNNNNNNNNNNNNNNNNNNNNNNNNNNNNNNNNNNNNNNNNNNNNNNNNNNNNNNNNNNNNNNNNNNNNNNNNNNNNNNNNNNNNNNNNNNNNNNNNNNNNNNNNNNNNNNNNNNNNNNNNNNNNNNNNNNNNNNNNNNNNNNNNNNNNNNNNNNNNNNNNNNNNNNNNNNNNNNNNNNNNNNNNNNNNNNNNNNNNNNNNNNNNNNNNNNNNNNNNNNNNNNNNNNNNNNNNNNNNNNNNNNNNNNNNNNNNNNNNNNNNNNNNNNNNNNNNNNNNNNNNNNNNNNNNNNNNNNNNNNNNNNNNNNNNNNNNNNNNNNNNNNNNNNNNNNNNNNNNNNNNNNNNNNNNNNNNNNNNNNNNNNNNNNNNNNNNNNNNNNNNNNNNNNNNNNNNNNNNNNNNNNNNNNNNNNNNNNNNNNNNNNNNNNNNNNNNNNNNNNNNNNNNNNNNNNNNNNNNNNNNNNNNNNNNNNNNNNNNNNNNNNNNNNNNNNNNNNNNNNNNNNNNNNNNNNNNNNNNNNNNNNNNNNNNNNNNNNNNNNNNNNNNNNNNNNNNNNNNNNNNNNNNNNNNNNNNNNNNNNNNNNNNNNNNNNNNNNNNNNNNNNNNNNNNNNNNNNNNNNNNNNNNNNNNNNNNNNNNNNNNNNNNNNNNNNNNNNNNNNNNNNNNNNNNNNNNNNNNNNNNNNNNNNNNNNNNNNNNNNNNNNNNNNNNNNNNNNNNNNNNNNNNNNNNNNNNNNNNNNNNNNNNNNNNNNNNNNNNNNNNNNNNNNNNNNNNNNNNNNNNNNNNNNNNNNNNNNNNNNNNNNNNNNNNNNNNNNNNNNNNNNNNNNNNNNNNNNNNNNNNNNNNNNNNNNNNNNNNNNNNNNNNNNNNNNNNNNNNNNNNNNNNNNNNNNNNNNNNNNNNNNNNNNNNNNNNNNNNNNNNNNNNNNNNNNNNNNNNNNNNNNNNNNNNNNNNNNNNNNNNNNNNNNNNNNNNNNNNNNNNNNNNNNNNNNNNNNNNNNNNNNNNNNNNNNNNNNNNNNNNNNNNNNNNNNNNNNNNNNNNNNNNNNNNNNNNNNNNNNNNNNNNNNNNNNNNNNNNNNNNNNNNNNNNNNNNNNNNNNNNNNNNNNNNNNNNNNNNNNNNNNNNNNNNNNNNNNNNNNNNNNNNNNNNNNNNNNNNNNNNNNNNNNNNNNNNNNNNNNNNNNNNNNNNNNNNNNNNNNNNNNNNNNNNNNNNNNNNNNNNNNNNNNNNNNNNNNNNNNNNNNNNNNNNNNNNNNNNNNNNNNNNNNNNNNNNNNNNNNNNNNNNNNNNNNNNNNNNNNNNNNNNNNNNNNNNNNNNNNNNNNNNNNNNNNNNNNNNNNGCAGACUAGAGUGCAUUUGUAUCUGAAGAGGAACUACUUUGAGAUGACUAUGCAAGUGCAAGGUUUCAAAUCUCCAUCAAGAAAUUAAGCAGGGUUUGGCAUAUCUGAAUUUGCCUACCCCUCUUUUUUUUUUUUUUUUUGGUAAAGGUAAUAAAUAUAUAAAUAAAGUUAAGGCAAUAUACAAAAGAUCGGCACCAAAAACCUACACUCAUUCCUCAAAAGGAGACAAAGUGUAGGGGAGCCAAUGUAAGAGGCCACAAAGGCAAACAAGGAAGCCACAAGGGCACAACAACAAAACAAACAAGCGGGAAAGAGAUAACAACAAGGCUGACCAACCCUCAGCCCCUAAGGAAGUGGCUAAGAACGGAGAGCCAAGAAAGAUAGGAGCAACUCGUGCAAAGCAGCAACUAAGGAGCACUAGUCAGCCGAGAGAACACCGCAGGGUCGAACCCCCAACCACGCUGAAGCCUCUUAUUCCUCGGGGUAGGAGGAACAUCUUUGAAUGUUAUAGCUUUAUCCCUCACAACCUUAAUAAGGUGGUUUUUUAGAGCCGAGACCACUAAGGAUUCGCCUUGAAAUAUAAUCGCAUUCCUCUUUUUCCAAAUAAGGUGACACAUAGCUGCCAAACGAGAACCGCGCAAUGCAAUGGAAGAAGUCCUUACCAGAUAAGAACUUUAAGGCCCAACUGAGGAUAUCUUUCCACAUCUAUUCCACCAUGGGAGGUUACACCUAGCGGCCCAAAAGUAGGCCAGAGAAGCCGAGGUGCGACACCCGAAGAAUAAAUGUUCAACAGAAUCUGGAACAUCAUUGCAGAAGGCACAAACAUAUAGUCGAUCCUACCAUGAGAAAGAGGCAGCAUCUGGUCGGCAGGCGAUUUUUGGUUAUAAGCCAUAAAUUAAACUGGAACUGCGGGGCUACAGCAUUAUCCCAAACAAAAGACGCCCAAUCAACACGAUCCUUCUUGACUCUAAUGGAAUUCCAUGCUGAAGUUACAGAGAAUGAUCCAGAAGCGUCACAGCACCAGGUAAACCUGUCACGAGCCGAAAAGAGGACCGGAAGAGAGAUCCCCCAUCUUUCCAAAAAGGAUUUAAAUAAACAACCCAUAGAGGUAAACAGAUCCGCAACAACAGCAUUGUCAGGAAGACACAAGCCUUCACGGAAUGAGCAAGGGAUAAAGGCAUCAAGCAGGCCACAAGAAAGCCAGUGAUCAUGCCAAAGAGACACUGAUAGUCCAUUUCCAAUCUUCCACACAAAGGAUAAGCAAAAGUAAUUCCUCAGUUGAAGGAUUUUUUUCCAUGCCCAAGAACAACAACGAGGCUGGGAAGAAAUCCAAAAGUUUCUUCUCUUUAAGAAGUUAGAGUGUACCCACUGACACCACAACGAUUCUUUAUCAGUGAAAAGAAUCCAAAUAAAUUUAAGCAUGGAGGCUUUGUUGUAAUCCUUAAGUUUCCGAAUGCCUAGACCGCCCUCAACCUUUGGGAGACAGACAUCAUCCCAGGAAACUUUGGCCCCACCCCGGCCAAGGGUCGUGCCUUUCCAUAAAAAUUGUCUCAAAAUGCGCUCAAUAUUAUCUAUAAUCGAGGACGGAAGGUUGAAGAUACUAGUCCAAUAUGUUUGAAUUGAAAAGAGCACUGAUCUUAUUAGUUGCAGCCUCCCAGCAAAGGACAGAAAGCGUUGCGCCCAAGAUUGAACCCUGGCAGUAAUACGAUCAGUCAAUGCAACAUAGUCUGCUUUGCCCAAUCUAGUAGUAAUAAUCGGAACACCUAAAUAGCGAACCGACAGUUUCCCUUCUUGAAAACCGAAGGCCUGUAGCAUCAUAUUAUGAAGAGAUGAAUCCCCUCCUGAGAUGAAGAUCUCACUUUUGUUUUUAUUUGGGUAGAGGCCGCUCCAAGAGGAGAAAAUGUCCAAACCCUUUUUUAACAACGUCACCGACGCCCAAUCAGCUUGACAGAAAAGGAAUACAUCAUCGGCGAAAAAGAGGUGAGUCAGUUGCACAGAUUUGCAUCUCCAGAAUAUUUGAAGUCAUUGCUAGCAGUACAGGAGAGCAAGAUUCCAGAGAAAAUUUCCAUGACUAAGGUAAAUAGGUAAGGUGACAUAGGAUCACCUUGCGUAAGUCCUCUUCCAGCAGGGAAAAAACCAUGCAAAUCACCAUUGAUAGAGAUGGAAUAUUUUGGCGUACGUACGCAAACCAUAAUUAGCGAAAUAAUCCACUCAGGAAAACCGAAGGCACGGAGAGCAAGCUCCAAGAAAUCCCAAUCAACCGUGUCAUAGGCCUUAUGGAAAUCAAUUUUAAUAGCACAUUUGGGCAGAUAAGGCUCUAAGUGAAAUCCAGCAAACAACUCUUGAGCGAUGAGGAUAUUAUCUCUAAUCCUCCUACCCUUUACAAAAGCAUUUUGUGAAGGGCUUAUCAAAUCAUUUAAGACAGCAGCAAUGCGAUUAGCAAGGAUUUUCGUAAUGACUUUAUAAAUGGUAUUGCAGCAUGCGAUAGGCCUAAAAUCAGUGACUGCACUUGCAUUAGGGACUUUAGGAACUAGGGUGAGGAUAGUGGUAUUUACCUCCUUUAGGAGCAGUCCCGAAGAGAAGAAAUCCUGGAUUGCUUCCACCACCAAUGGCCCCACUAAGUCCCAAUUAGUCUUGUAGAACUCUACUGAGAAUCCAUCAGGACCUGGGGCUUUGCCUUUGGCAAGGGAGAAUAGAGUAUUCUUAAUCUCAGAGGGAGAAACUGGCUCACACAGGGACCGCACCUGAGCAUCAGAAAGUGGGUGACGAACAAACAUCUUCAACUCCUGAAUCGAAGGUUUAGAUAAAGCCUCAUGAUGAGAGAGCAGAUUCGAGAAAAAACGGACAAAAACUUGCGGCACAAGAACAGGAUCAGUGAUAAUAGCCCCCGACUGAUCCUUAACGGAAAGGAUCCUAUUAGUAAGCUGCCUCCUCUUCACCGAAUGGUGGAAAAACUUAGUAUUCCUGUCACCUUCUUUUAGCCAUCUCACUCUCGACUUUUGUCUGAAGAAGGAUUCUUCUUGAUUCCUCAGAUCAAUGAAGACACGACGCUGAGAUUUUUCCAACUCAGCAAGAGAAGGUUGUAAGGGUCCGAUUGAAGGCUAACCUGAGUGCUUCGAAGGGCCUCUCUUGCUUCGGCCGCUCUCACAGAGAUAUCCGAGAAGGCGUCUUGGUUAAGUAACUUAAGUCGAGCUUUCACAAUUUUCAGCUUGGAAACAAGAAUGUACAUUGGAACGCCUAUGAUGGAAGAGUCCCAAGCCUGACGAACAAUUGAGUUAAAGUCCGGGUGGUCAGCCCAAAAUUCAAAAUACUUAAACGGCUUCCUCCUUUGGACCGGCUGAAGAACUUUGACGAUCAUAGGAGUAUGGUCCGAGAUACCAGGGUUCAAAAACAAAGCCUCAGAGAACGAGAAAUGAAGGUUCCAUUUGUUGUUAACCAGAACACGAUCGAUCUUCCUCAUCUUCCUGGCGUCUCCUGCCGAGGUAGACCAAGUAUAACGGAGGCCAACAUAUCUGAGAUCCAUCAAUUCUGUUUGUGCUAAGCAUUGGGCAAACUCAUCAAAAUAAGGGAUCCAGUCGUUGGAACCUCCAACUCGAUCGGAUGGGUCUUUAAUGGCGUUGAAAUCCCCAGCAACAAGCCAAGCCGAAUCUUGCAUCAAGUCAUUAAAGUGGAGGAGGUCCUCCCACAAAGGUCUACGACGUAGAAAAGUAUGUUCUCCAUAAAUAGCAGAGAUACAGCAGCUCACACCAGACAUAUUAUGCUUCAGACUACCAUGCACAGCCUGGUCAUUGAUAGAGAUAGGCACAAAAGAAACAAGAUCAUGGUUCCAACCAACCCAGAUUCUACCACGAGAAGAAUACUCAUAGUUUGCAAUCCAAUUCCAACCACUAAUUAAGGAAGCCGAGAUAGAAUCAAAAUGUUUCUCAGGAACUUUAGUCUCAAAAAGGCCAAUCGGGCAGAGUUUAUUAACAGCAGCAAAUCUCCUGAUCUCUGCCCGCCUAAGAGGGUUGACCAUGCCUCUAAUGUUCCAAAAGCCAAAAAACAUAUCAAAAAAAGAUAGAGAGUAGAAUUACCUCUUCUUAGGCCUGCGGCCUGUGGCAGGCGCUUUUGAAGCCACCGAGGGUGGUGGAUCAGGAAGAAGCAAGAGGAGCUGUUCUUGCAUACUUCUAACACCAUCCGGAGCUAGGCCUUUUGGCGAAGGGGAGCCCACAGACAAAACAUCUUCAUCAUUUACUUCCAUUUGAGUACUAGAGUUGCAUAUUUCAUCCGAGCUUCCAUCCUGAAGUGAAGAGGAGGGAGCUCCCUUCUCAGCAUGCUUUUUCUUUUUCCUACCUUUCCCCUUCACCUGCUUCCAUUCUGGAUCAGCAGUAGGAGCUGAGGACAUAGCCACCAAUUCACCACCAUCUUCAGAUGUAGAAACCUUAGCAGCAGAGAUCUUCGAAGGCUUAGGAGGAACAAGUGCAAUUGCCUCCAGUUGCAGCUGAGAAUCAAUCUCAGGAUCAAUCAUGUCCAUGCCUGGGGUAGUAAGUGGAACUUGUAAGUCCACCAUAGCCUGUUUUUGCCAAUUCUGAGGGAGAGCAGGACCAUCUGGACAAGUAGGGGAGUUAGGAUGCACAGACUUGUCUUGAGCAGGAUGGGUUCCAACACUAGCAUUGAAGACCUGAUUAGCUUCUGCAGCCGGAACAACAGAGUUUGUAGGAGCAGCUGUUUUACAGCUGUGACCAAAUAUACCGCACACAGGGCAAGCAAGCGGUUUCCAUUCGUACCUACCCCUCUUUUUAAUAAGCUGCGAUGUGAGAAGUACCAAGUUUUCUCUGACCUAGUGAUUCUGGAGAAUACUUGGACAUAGGAACCGGUUAAAAUCUGUGUGUACCGCAGCAUGAGAGUAAUUUGGGAAUGAGAU
This 80722-nucleotide long non-coding RNA is filed under the name Eucalyptus grandis. Its description in RNAcentral is "long non-coding RNA (EGRA_LNC003686)". Lineage: Eukaryota; Viridiplantae; Streptophyta; Magnoliopsida; Myrtales; Myrtaceae. The record is from RNAcentral.